This 50642-nucleotide long non-coding RNA is filed under the name Vitis vinifera (wine grape). Its description in RNAcentral is "long non-coding RNA (VVIN_LNC001597)". The record is from RNAcentral. Lineage: Eukaryota; Viridiplantae; Streptophyta; Magnoliopsida; Vitales; Vitaceae.
GAACAGUGUUCUUCUUUGGGGUUAGUUUGACUUGAAUAUCAUCUUUACGAGCGUUAAGGGCAUGGGUGUCACCAUCUGCUGCAGCCACGUACAAUUUAGGAUCCAUGAUUGUGAUCUUGGUCAGGCUCCCAUCUUCAGCUGCAGCCAGGUUGGUGAUCUCGAUUUCCCUAGCAUCUUCAGCUGCAGCCUGGUUGGUGAUCUGAAUUUCCCUAGCACCUUCAGCUCCAACCUGAUUCGACUCUGUAUUCAAGUUAAGGCUGGAAGUAGUGGGAUCGGCCAUUGUUGUUGAAUGAGCAGUGGCCUUUCUAUAUUUUGCUCCAAGGAUGGGAAACAAGUUGACCAAUUGUUUAAUGGAGAGGGUGGCUCUUAGCUCAACCUCGGGGAAAUUAAGUGGAUGCUUUUUAUAGCCUAUAGGUGUGUGGGUGUAAUUUGAUAUUCAAAGAUGGAAGUAUAUUCAAAUUCUCCAAUCUUUGUCAUAAAUUAAAACAGUAGAUGGAAGUACAUAUCAAAACACCACAAUUAUUUAAGUACACAUUCUAAGAUAUUUUCGGUAGGUUAUGUUUAUAUUCAAAGAUAUUUUAUACACUAUUGAUGUAAUGGAAAGUUGUUUAUUUGAAUUUUUCUUUUUAUAUGCCGUUCCUUUCAACUUGAGUCCACAUUUCAAGAUAUUUUCUAUAAAUUAUGUUUAUAUUCAAAGAUAUUUUAUGUACAAUUCAUAAUGUGAUAGAAAGUUGUUUAUUUGAUUUUUCAAUUCCUUUUUAUAUGUAGAUAAUGGUAUGUGAGGAAAUUGAAGAAAAAUGCUCUGAGCAUGUACUCCUCCGAGGAUAUCACCAAAAACAUUUGGAGAAGAUCACCAAUGCCAAAAAAAUUAUGAAUACAUAUUUCUCCUUUCCUGGUAUUUUCUUUCUCUUAAUUUUCUAUUUGAUUGGCAUAUUUGGAGGACACCACUAACUAUUAUUUGUUUUUUAAGUCAUAAUUAGUCUAUUUUUCUCUCAUAUUCCAACUAGCUACUUAACUUGAUUUCCAUCCAUUUCUUAGUGAAGAAAAAUGCUUUGAAUAUAUCCUUGUCCAAGGAUAUCACUAAAAAAUGCUCUGAAUUAGUCCAUUACUAAUUAUUAUUUAUUUUUUAAGUAGUAAUUAGUUCAUUUUUCUCUCAUAUUCAAACUAGCUAAUUAACUUUAUUUCCAUCCAUUUCUUAGUGAAAGAAAAAUGUUUUGAACACGUCUUCCUCCAAAUAUAUCACCAAAAGUAUUUUUGGAAAAAUAUCACCAGUGUCAAAAAAAAAAAAUGAAUACAUAGUACAAUGGAUUUAAUGUUAUUUUGUACAAGUAUGAAUUUAUGAAAUUAAAGUCAAGACAACGUAAAAGAUAUUUUGUAGAAGAAAUUUCAAUCAAAAUGGUACGUGUAUGUGUGUUAAAGCCUUACCAACUUUGUUGUGGGAGUUAAAAGCCUUACCAGCUCUCAUUGUAGAAUGGACAAAAAAAUUUCAAAAAGAAAAAAUAGAAUAUGAUACUGUGGUCAAAACCAAAUUAUUUUUAGGUCAAUUAUAAACACAUGUUCUAGACCCAAUGGGUUUGGGCCAAUAAACCCAAUGAGUUCUUUUUACUUAGUUAAAUGAUUGAAUGCAUUAUCAAAUUGAUAUCCCUUUAGGGCUCGUGUUUUUAUUUUUCUAUCUUUUGUUUCUUAUUUAUUUAUUUACUUAUUUUUGUAUCUCUCUAUUUUAAUUUCAACUUUUUCACAAAUUUUAUAGUAUCCAUGUAUGUAACAUUGUAAACUAACAAUUUCACUCUCGGAUCAGAUUGGUAUAUUUGGCAUAUGUCGCCAAGUUUUAGUUUAAUUUUUCUAAAUGAUAAUUGACCAUUUUUCUCUUACAUUUGAAAGCUAAUUAGAAUAUAUUUGACAACUAUUUUUUAGAUUAAUUUUUUAUUCUGUAAAACAAAAAAAAAAAAAAAAAAACCAACAAGGAAAUAUGUUUGACAACUAAAAAACUAUUUUAUAUUUUUAUUCUUUAAAAUAGAAAACAUGAUGUUUUUAAAGAAAAUUUUAUAGUUGUUUUCGUUUGUGUUUUUAAGAACCAUUUUUAUAAAAUAAUUAUACCAAUAUAUAGAAUGAUUAAAAAUAAAGAACUGAAUAUAAAAAUUAAUUUUAAAAUAUAUUUAAAAAAAUAAAAUAAUAGUUUUUUAGAAAUGUUUUUUAAUAUAGUUACCAAAACAGGGUUUCAGCUUUACGCCCCUCCAUGUUGACUCAAUUAUUAAUUAUGUGGCAUUCGAACAUAAGUCAAUGUAUAAUUUUAAUAGGAAAAAGACGGUUAUAUAUAUAUAUAUCAUAACAAACAAAAAGGUGAUAGAUGUGUGUUUUAAAGCAGUUUGUUUCAAGUUAUGUGUAUAUUCAAAGAUAUUUUAUGUAGCUUAUGUUGACAUUUAAGGAUAUUUUAUAUAAUAUUAAUAUAAGGAAAAGUUGUUUGUUUGAUUUUGUUUCUCUUUCUACUAUAGAUCCUACCUAGAUCCUGAUCCUUGUCUUAUUGGGAUCCCAAAGUCUUCUAUACAACACUACGCACUUUUUACCCCCACAGAAACCAUAGUCGCUCCUUUAUCUAGCUAAAUGCUUUUUAUUAAAUAUUUUUAUAAAUGGAAUUAUAUUUCUGACAUUCCACAAUUUCUUCGAUCUCCAAGGAUAGAAGAUGGAAGGAUUAUAAGGAAGAGGAUGUUUAAUUGUAAUUUUUUUAGUAAUAUAUAUAUAUAUUUAAAGAAGUAAUUGGUCCACUUUUAUCUCAUAUUUGGAUUAACUAAUUAACUUGAUUUCCGCCUUAAAGAACCAAUUAGUGUCAAUUUAAGUAUAAAUCAAUAUCAAAUAUUAAUGUUGAUGAAGACUAGGUACCCAAUCAAAGUGGUAGAAGUAUCUUAAGGCCAUAUCACCUUUAUCAAAAUGUAUGUGUUGGCCUACUACCUUACCAUCUUUGUCAAGAUGUAUGUGUUAACCCUACCUACCACCUUUGUGAAGAUGUAUGUAUUAAUAUCCUCGAAACUUUAUCAUACGAACUAAAACAAUAAGUGAAAAUAUAUCAUAACCCAACAAUUGUUUUUUUGACAACAAUUGUUUUUUGGGAGAUGAGUAGUCCUUUUCAACUUAGGUUCACAUUCAAAGAUAUUUUGUAUGGCAUAAAUCUAUAUUCAAAGAUUAUAUAUAUAUUCCAAACAUAAAUCAACUUCAAAUAUUAAUGUUGAUAAAGAUUGGGUAUCACCAUAUCAAAAUGGUAGAAGUAUCUUAAGACCAUACCACCUAUAUCAAGAUGUAUGUGUUAAUAUCCUCAAAGCUUUGUCAUUUGAAUUAAAUCAGGAGGUGGAAGUAUAUCUUAAUAGAACAAUUAUUUUUCUAGAGAUAAGUAGUUCCUUUCAACUUAAGUGCACAUUCAAAGAUAUUUUAUAUAGUAUAUGCCUACAUUAUAUAUAUUUAUAUUCACUCAUAUCUUAUUCUUUUUUUAUCAAAUCCACAUCAACAAUGUCUCUUGUGAAAACAUUGAAAAAAUCGUCAAACCCAUUAAAAAAUCAUUAAAAAAAUUGUGAUAUACUAAUUUGAUAGGAAGAAAUCCCACUAGUUAAUUAUUAUUUUUUUCCUUGAUCAUUUACACUUUCAUAUGAUCCAUCAAAUUCAUCUUCCACAAUUGGUCUACUUCUUAGUUAAUUUUGUUUACCAAUUUUAAUAUGAUCAAAAUCAAUUUUAAAAUUUUAGGUUAUGUUUGGUUUAAAAAAAAAUUGAGAGAAAAUAUAAGGGAAGAAAAAUAUGGAGGAAAAGAAGAAAGAAAGAAAAAUGAAUGAAAAUAAAAUAGAUUUAAAAUUAAUAAAUUAUUUUUAUAUGUUAUUUUAAACUAAAUUCACUUAUUUUAACUCUUCUAUAUAAAAAUUAAAUAAUUUGAAAAUAUAUAAGUUUUAACUAAUUUUAAUUAUAUUUUAAUUUCUUUGAUAUUUUUAAUAGUAUUACAACCAAACAUUAAAAAUAAUCAUUUUUUUUUAACAUUUUUUCCAUAAUACUUUUUGAAGAAUCAAAUAUAACCUUAAUGUUAAAAUUGAAUAGAAUAUAAUUAUUUUGUAUCUGUAAAAACUUGCUACUUUGACAAACUAGAGAUAAUUUUUAUCUUAUCAACAAUUGUGAAGUUGAGUAAAUUUAAAGCUAAAUCAAUUUCCCAAACAUCAACAAAUAAAAACAAAAUUAAAUAGUCAAAUAUCGUAUUUUUCUAGAGUUGGAAGUACAUAUAAACACCGCAAUUGUUUUUCUAGAGGUAAGUAGUCCCUUUCAAUUAAGUCUAAUUUCAAAGAUAUUUUCUAUAACUCUACAUUUCACAUUCUAUAUAUUUUGUGAGCAAUUCCCUUCAAGCUUUUGUCCAUGAUUUAAAGAUAUUUUAUGUAGAGCAUACGUGGAAGGGCUUUUGCCCAUGAUUGAAAGAUAUUUUAUGUAGAGCAUAUGUGGAAGGGAAAGUUGUUUGCACAUAUAUAUAUUUUUCUCUUUCUUUCUUGUGAAGUUUUUCUGUCUUUUUAGACAUCUCCCAUUUUUAUUUACUUGAUGAGAUUUUUAUCCUAUCACACUCCGGCCUCAAUAAUUUGGCUACAUUAAACCCAUUAACACCAUUUUAUUAUUUAUUUUUCUAAAUUGUAAUGCUUCAUAUUUCUCUCAUAUUUGAACCAACCAUCCAGCUUCGUUUCACGCUCAUUCCUUGAUUCACCCAUUUGAUAAGUGACUGUCAAUCAUAAAUCAAUAUAGAGAUGAGUCGUUGCUUUCAAAUCAUGUCUAUAUUUUUUAGAUUUUUUUUGUAACUUAAGUCCACAUUCAAAGAUAUUUUACGUCAAACAUGGGUGUAGAGGAAAGUUACUCAAAUACCAUAUUCUCUUUCCUUCUAUGGAUAAGAUAAUGCUUGGUUCUAAUUUCAUAUGUAGUAUAAUUUUAAUUCUUAAUUUUAAGAAAAUUAUAAAAAUAAAAAUAAAUAGUAAAUAAAAGAUUCAUUCCCAAAUUUGUUUAAAGUCAUUUUAAAUCUCACAACUCAUUCUCAUUAUAUUUGUAAGGCAAUCAAGCAACUUGCUGUCUCACAUGUAAAGAUUAAAAUGUGGUCAAAACUCAUCAAAAGAAUCAUUAAAUGUUUUUCUACUUAUUGUUAUAUAAUCAUCAUUAUAUUCUUGUGUAUUUUUUUUUUAAAUAAAACUAGUUUUAAGAAAAAUAUUAAGUAUUUUUAAAAGCUAAAAUUCAAUUGAAAAUUUAUUUAUACGUUCUACUUUUGAAAAUAGUGAAAACCAAAGCAUAUUUAAAUGCAUUUUUUCCCUCUUUUAUUUCUUUUGUGCACAUCUGGACUUUUCACAAGAAAAUGGACAAAGUAGCUUUGGGAAUAAAAAAUAGAAAAUGUUUAUGGUAUCAAAACCUAGUUAUGUUUUAUUAUAGAAGGAAGAAAAAAAAUGAAUGAAUUAUAUAUAUCUAUAUAUAGUAAGGAUCAAUGUGAGGUAAAAUCCCAAGAAUAUUAUCAAAAAUAUUUUGGUAAAUUAUUAUUAUUAUUAUUUUGGUAAUAUAUAUAUAUUCUUAAGAAGUAAUUGGUCCACUUUUCUCUCAUAUUUGGAUUAACUAAUUAACUUGAUUUCCGCCUUAAAGAACCAAUUAGUGUCAUUUCAAAUAUAAAUCAAUAUCAAAUAUCAAUGUUGAUGAAGAGUGGGUACCAUAUCAAAGUGGUAGAAGUAUCUUAAGGCCCUAUCACCUUUGUCAAGAUGUAUGUGUUGGCCCUACCACCUUAUCACCUUUGUCAAGAUGUAUGUGUUGACCCUACCACCUUUGUGAAGAUGUAUGUAUUAAAAUCCUUGAAGUUUUAUCAUACAAACUAAAACAAUAAGUGGAAAUAUAUCAUAACCCAACAAUUGUUUUUUAGGAGAUGAGUAGUCCUUUUCAACUUAGCUUCACAUUCAAAGAUAUUUUGUUUAGCAUAAAUCUAUAUUCAAAGAUUAUAUAUCUAUAUAUAUAUAUAUAUAUAUAUAUAUUCCAAACAUAAAUCAAUCUCAAAUAUUAAUAUUGAUAAAGAUUGGGUAUCUACCAUAUCAAAAUGGUAGAAGUAUCUUAAGGUCAUACCACCUAUAUCAAGAUGAAUGUGUUAAUAUCCUCAAAGCUUUGUCAUUUGAAUUAAAUCAGAAGGUGAAGUAUAUCUUAACAGAACAAUUAUUUUUCUAAAGAUGAGUAGUCCCUUUCAACUUAAGUUCACAUUCAAAGAUAUUUUAUAUUGUAUAUGCCUAUAUUAUAUAUAUUUAUAUCCACUCAUAUCUUAUUCUUUUUUCUUUUUUUUAUCAAAUCCACAUCAACAAUGUCUCUUGUGCAAACAUUGAAAAAAUCGUCAAACCCAUUAAAAAAUCAUUAAAUUUUUUUACUAAUUUUGAUAUACUAAUUUAAUUUGAUAGGAAGAAAUCCUAGUAGUUAAUUAUGUUUUUAUUCCUUGAUCAUUUACACUUUCGUAUGAUCCAUCAAAUUCAUCUUCCACAAUUGGUCUACUUCUUAGUUAAUUUUGUUUACGAAUUUUAAUAUGAUCAAAAUUAAUUUUAAAAUCUUAGGUUAUGUUUGGUUUAAAAAAAUUGAGAGAAAAUAUAAGGGAAGAAAAAUAAAGAGGAAAAGAGGAAGGAAAGAAAAAUGAAUGAAAAUAAAAUAGAUUUAAAAUUAAUAAAUUAUUUUUAUAUGUUAUUUUAUUUUAUUUAUUUUUUUAAAAAGAAAACAAAAUAAAAUAAAACAUGUGUAACUCCUUAUUUGGAAAAAUAAAAUAAUAAAAUAAGUGUAUGGAUUAAGAAUGAGUUUUGAGGGUCAAGUUCCCUAUAGGGUAAGCCUUAGCAUACCUCCAAACCCAUUUGUUUACAAUCUCUAAUAAACAAUAAGAGAUACUUUAACAUUUAAUUAGUCAAUCAACGGAUAGAAAAGAAAUUAAGAAACUUGAUGCCUCACGUACAAAGAUUAGAAAGUGGUUGGAACCACUCAUGAGAAAAUCAUUAAAUUUUUUCCUUUUUAUUAAUGUAUAAUCAUCAAUAUAUUUUUCUACUUUCAAAAACAAAAAUAAAACUAGAAUUAAGGAAGAUAUUAAUUUUUUUUAAAGGAAGAUAUUCAAUAUUUGUUUAAAGUUAAAAAAAUGUAAUUAAAAUUUUAUUUAUAUGUUCUAUUUUUAAAAAUAGUAUAAACAAAUGUAUGAAUACAUAUUUCUUCUCAUUUUUCCGUUUUGGUAUUUUCUUUCUCUUUUUUAUUUGAUUGGUCUAUUCAAUGGAUUUCAUUGAUUAUUAUUGAUUUCUUAAGUAGUAAUUGAUCCAUUUUUAUCUCAUAUUUGGAUUAGCUAAUUAACAUGAUUUCCAUGGUAAGGUCCCAACUAGUGACAUUUCAAAUAUAAAUCAAUAUCAAAUAUUAAUGUUGAUAAAGACUGUGUAUCUACCAUAUCAAAGUGGUAGAAAUACCUUAAAAUCCAAAUAACCUUUGUCAAGAUAUAUAUAUAUAUAUAUAUAUAUAUAUCUAUGUGCGUGUGUGUGUGUGUUGGUCCUAGCACCUUUGUUGAGAUGUAUGUGUUAAUAUUCUUGAAACUUUAUCAUAUGAAUUAAACAACAAAUGGAAAUAUAUCAUAAUACAACAAUUGUUUUUAUGGAGAUGAGUAGUCCAUUUCAACUUAGGUUCACAAUCAUAGAUAUUUCCGUAUAAUUUAUGUCUAUAUUCAAAGAUAUUUAAUGUACAAUAUUGGUUCUAAUUUUUUUGGUAAUACAUAUAUAUAUAUUGAGAAGUAAUUGGUCCACUUUUCUCUCGUAUGUGGAUUAACUAAUUAACUUGAUUUCCACCUUAAAGAACCAAUUAGUGUCAUUUCAAAUAUAAAUCAAUAUCAAAUAUUAAUGUUGAUGAAGACUGGGUACCAAAUCAAAGCAGUAGAAGUAUCUUAAGGCCCUAUCACCUUUGUCAAAAUGUAUGUGUUGGCCCUACCACCUUACCACCUUUGUCAAGAUGUAUGUGUUAACCCUACCACCUUUGUGAAGAUGUAUGUUUUAAUAUCCUCGAAACUUUAUCAUAGGAACUAAAACAAUAAGUGGAAAUAUAUCAUAACCCAACAAUUGUUUUUUUUUUUUUUUUUUUUGACAACAAUCACUGUAGAUCUUAAGCUUAGAGACGGAUAGUGCGAGUGCGAGGUCCAAUCUAGAUAGAGUGGCUUUGUACUCGGCUUCGUUGUUUGAUGCGAGGAAUCCGAGUUAGAUGGCCUGCUCUCACCAGUUGGAGAUUGUAGUAGCAAUCCCACUCUGGAUCCUGACGACUAAGAGGCUCCAUUGACUUGUAAGGUCCAUCACUCCGUCUUGUCCGAUUCUCAGUCUCGAGAGGGUUGUUGGGGAGACUCCACCACAAAGUCAACCAUGACUUGCCCUUUCAUGGACAGCCUAGGCUAAUAUUCGAUCCCAUACUCGCUCAACUCUAUGGCCCAUUGCAGCAUUCUUUCGGACUUAUUCGGUUUGUGUAGGGUGCUUCGCAAGGGCUAGUCGGUAAGCACGACUAUUGGGUGAGCUUGAAAAUAUGGGUGGAGCUUCUGGGCGGCACUCCGCAAGGCUAAGGCAAUUUUUUCUAUCUUUGAAUAUCUUGUUUCUGCAUCGGCCAUUGCUCUGGUGAUAUAAUAAACAGGCUUCUGCUCCUUGUGUGAUGGACAACGAAACAAGACGACGCUAACCACUCAAUCCAAUACUGCUAAAUACAUGUACAACCAUUCGGCAGGCUGAAGGCUGCUCAAGAUGGGUGGUUGUGUGAGGUACUAUUUGAUUUUCUUGAACACGCCUUGGUAGUUAUCCGUCCAUCCAGUCGCGUCGGCUUUCCUUAGCACCAGGAAGAAAAGUUGUAGUUUGUCUGUGAAUCGGGCUAUGAAACGUCCUAGUGCGAUGAGUUUGCUAGUGAGGCGUUGCAACUCCUUUUUGUUUUUGGGGGCGGGUGCCUCCAUGACUGCUUUAAUUUGAUUCGGGCUGACUUCUAUUCCUCUUUAAGUGACCAUGAAUCCCAGGAAUUUUCCCGUGCUUACACCAAAGGCGCAUUUGGAUGGGUUAAGUUUCAUGUCGUAUCUCCUCAGUAAGUGGAAGACUUUUUGCAGGUGGUGGGUAUGAUCUUCUCUAGUUUUUUUUUUUUACCACUAUGUCAUCAAUGUAUACCUCCACUGUGCGACCAAUCAAGGGCUUGAAGAUCUUUGUCAUUCGUCUUUGAUAGGUGGCGCCAACGUUUUUGAGUCCGAACGACAUGACCUUGUAACAAUAAAGUCCAUGCGACGUUAUAAAGGCAGUUUUUUCUUCGUUCGCGAGGGCCAUGGGAUCUGAUGGUAUCCGGAGAAGGCGUCUAGAAAGGAGAGCAUCCCUUGCCCGGUAGUGGAGUCCAUAAUUUGGUCUAUCCGUGGCAACGGGAAGCUAUCUUUUGGGCAUGCAUUGUUGAGGUUGGUGUAAUCAAUGCACACUCGCCACUUCCCUUCCUUUUUGAGGACUACCACCACAAUUGCCAACCAUUCCGAGUGCUCAACUUCCCUGAUGAACCCAACAUUCAAUAACUUAUCCACCUCAUCUUGAAUAAUCUUCUGUCUAUCCGGAUGAAAUCGUCUAACCUUUUGUUGAACAGGUCUUGACGAGGGCAAGAUGUUAAGUCGAUGGGAGGCAACUGAUGGGUGGAUCCCAAGCAUAUCGAAGUGGGUCCAUGUGAAAACGUCUUGGUUUUGUCAAAGCAUCUCCUUGAUGUUCUGAGUCUCUUCGAGUUCCAAGAGGGAACUAAUAUAGGUGAGACGACCAUUCUUCUCCGAGAUUUGGAUGGUUUGCAAGGGAUCUACCACCGGGGGAUCUUUAUCCGUCGGGUACUGUAAUUGCUAUUGGUCGGGUGCAUUCGCUUGCUCAGGGAGCAACUCGCGAUCGUUACUAGGUCCGGCCUCUCGUGCUAUUUGAUAGCACUGACGGGCUGCUAACUAGCUACCAUAUAAAUCAAUCUGCCUGUCUUCGGUCAGGAAGCUCACCAUCUGAUGGUACGUGGAAGGGAUGACCUUCAUGUAGUGAAACCAGGUGCACCCCAAAAUGGCGUUGAAGGAGGAUAGAUCUUCCACUAUUGAGAAUUGUACGUUGAGGAUGACUAAGCCUGCUUGGAUCGAUGACACAACGUUUCCAAGAGAGGUUGUUGCAGUUCCAUUGAAUCCUGACAAAAUCCGUCCCGGGGUCUCUAGGCUAAAGGGCACGAUUCCCAUUUGUUUGAUUACUAAUACUUGCAAGAGCUCGAUGGAGAUGCCUAGGUCGACCAAGAUCCGCCUUACGUCGAAGUCUCCAAUCCCAAGAGACAGGAUAAGGGUGUCUUGGAGUGGUUGCAAUAUUCGUAUGGGGUCUACUAGAGGAAAAAUGAUUGUCCCAUCUAUUGGACGGGCGUUCCUGCUAGUUAAUCCGGGCCGGAUGGAGUUGAUACGUUCGCGUACCGAAGCGGCCUACAGCAGCCUUUGCCUCUUUCUCUUGGAGUCGUACUCUUCAUCCAAGGGUCCACCAUGAAUGUAGUUAAUUAUGGCCCUAGGGGCGAUCGGAGCUGAGGUGACUCCGGAGGCUUGACUCCGAGAAGUCUCCUCCCUUGGCUUUUGAGCGAACGUACUGCUUUAGGUGUCCUGCUCUUAUAAGCUUUUCUACCAAGUAAUGGAGACUCCUACACUGUUCCGUAGUAUGUUCAUGCUCUUUAUGAUAAGCACAUUUCCUGUUAUAAUCUCUCUUGGUUGGGUCCGCUUUGAGGGGUUCAUGUCACCUAAAGUCGGACAGCUCGCAGAUCAUUGGAAGAAGCUUCUCAUAUGAUAUGGUAAGGGGUGUAAGCAGUGGCAGCUUUGACUGACUUUGUUCACCUUGUCUACAGCCGGGUGGCCUCUGCUAGUUCGGAGGUUUGGAACUUCUUGCCACGUCAUUCCUGGUCGGCUGUCCGGUAACCAGGAUUUGUUGGAUGGCUGCGCAUACAGCAUCUUCCAGCAUUGAGUAUUUGUUCGCGCGCCGGAACAAGUCAUCCAUAGUUGUGGGAGGUUUUUUAGUGAGUGAUUCCAAGAAUGGUGUGCCCGGACAUAUGCUCCGCUUAAAAAUUUGGAGGACAACAUCCAUGCUAUAGGAUUCUAGUUGUAGUGCAACUUGACCAAAUCGUUUCACGAACUCCCUCAGGGAUUCAUUUUCCUGUAUUUUUAUGUUUUGCAGGGUGCUAAUAUUCUAUUUAUGUCAUGCGGAACACAGGUAUUGUCCCACAAAGGCUUCUGAUAGAUCCUAGAAGUUAUUAAUAGAAUUCACAAGGAGUCGAUGAAACCAUGAGAGAGGCUGGUGGGGAACACCUUGCACAACAUUGCGGCAUUCCCUAUGUCGAGUGUCAUGAGUUGUUGGUAGUGCAUGAUGUCGUCAAACGGAUCGCUAGACCCGUCAUACGUAGAAAAUUUUGGCAUGAGAAACCCUCUUAGGGGCUCGUAAUUGAUAAUACGCGAGCUAAAAGGUGUGGAGAGCAUGUCAUCCAAUUGCCUAUUGAUGGAGCCCGAGGGGGCUCAUUUGCUGAAUUUCCUCCGACUUGUCAUAGUGCUUGGUGUGGGGGAUUGCCCUGUGUGAUGGGUGCGACCGCGGGACUAGGAUACGUCUCCCGGGUCGCGGCUGUAGGUGGCCUAUCCUUACCAGGUGCUUGUGGUCCCAACCUCACACGCAUUGUGUCAGAUAACUGUGGUCUCUUGUCGCGUUGUCUCUUUGACGAGACACAAGUGGAGUCCGAGCUUUCAUCAUAUGGAGCGUGAUAUGUAGGUAAGGGUCGUUCACUAGGCCGUUCAUCGCGCAUAUCAAGAGCGAUCUCGAUGACUUCAAGAUACAUUGUCUCCUGGUUAUGCUUAGAGUUUGUCCCUUGGCCUCUCGGUCGCUGGUCGUGAGGAGGUCCCGAGGAUGAAACCUGGAUUCUUAACACAUCGUUUUCUUCCUUAAGCCUCCUUGUUUCUUGGAGUAGGGCCUGCACUUGCCGCUCACUUUCCAGCUUUCGUUUUUCCAUACUUUCGCGCCAGUCAAAAUAACCCUCAUCACCCAUGGCUGAUGAACAACUUCUAGAAGGUGUGGACAUCUUCGUAAAUGUUGUUUCCCACAGACGAUGCCAAUUGAUGCCGAGAGGACCCAGAGUCACUGUAGCUCCCUAAAGUACUUGCCUCCUCAACUGAGAGCGAUGCUUCCUUCCUUUGCCCUGCAAAAGAUGUCCAGAUAGGUGGUCCGGACACACCUUCCAAAGCUUUUGUUAGUUUGGCGGUCAAACAUAUUGAUAUUUUUGGGCCCUUUUUUUAGGAAUGCUUACCCUCUCUUGACUGGGUCGUCGGGGGCCUUUUAUAGUGUCUAGAGCCCCGUCACUUUGAAUGUGGGAAGGCUCUUUGACUUUUACAGUCAUGAUGGUGCUCAAAGGGUGGCAGAGCCGUAUUAUCCUGCAGGCGGCUAACAGAAAUUGUUUGGGGGGGGGGGGGGGGGGGGGGGGAGGGGGAAUUUUUCCCCCCCCCAUUUUUUUUCCCCCAAAGGGGGGAAAGGGGGGGGGGAAACAAGUCCCCCGAAAAAANNNNNNNNNNNNNNNNNNNNNNNNNNNNNNNNNNNNNNNNNNNNNNNNNNNNNNNGAGAUGACAACUGUCGAGUUCGGACUAGACGUCCGAAUAGAGGGUGGGACGUGCCAUGUGUCCACCGGAGGAGUGCCUUGUGAGCCCAGGGUGGCCUACCACAUGUACGUUUAAGGGUCGUCCCUACAGUAAGAACAUAGGUAGAAAACGGUACUUACAUAUAGUUUUGGAAAAUAAAAGAAAAAAUGAUAAGGAGUUUCAAAUUCAUUUAUUUAAUUUAGAGUAUAUUGAAAAAAUCAUUUUUUUAUAUUUUUGCUGGCAUAUCAAUUUAGUCCCUAAAUAUUUUUAAAACAAUAUUACCCUUAAUCAAUGCUCAAAUGUCAAAUGAUCUCUUUUAUUGAAAAUUUUCAUCAAAACUUUACAUAAAACUCCCUCAUAAAAUAUACAUUAGCAUGAAAUUUUAUAUGAUAUAUUGGGAUCUGUCCAAGUUUUUCGUGCUUAGUCAUAUGUGUUUUUCCAUCUAGAUUUUAUUUUAUUUUAUUUUUAAAAAAAAAAUUCUUGUUCAAUUAAACUAAGUCAGAGCUAAUAUUGUGAGAGGUUGGACUAAACUUCUCACCGAAAAAAAAAAAAUUAAAAGUAAGUGAGUUUCUAGAUAUUGAAUCUGAAAUUAGUUAUACGAACAGAUCAAUCGAAAAAAAAAUGCUGAAGUAAAAAAAGUAAAAAGUCUUAACUUGGCAGUUGGAUUGAUGGUGAUAGGGCCUUUUUAAGGCUGCAAUGGAGAGGUUGUUGUCCAGUGGCCUUUAUUAACUCACAUCAUGGUUGUAAGGUAUUCCUUUUGUGACGCAUACGAUAUUUAGAGAUUUUUUUUGGCCUAUUUUCCUCUUUUUUUUUUCUUUGGAUGGGUGGUGGGGUAGAUUUUUUUGUUCCUCUUUUUUUCUUUCUUUUUAUUUUUUGCUUAUCGAUGAGGGAAAGAAAAAACAAUUUUAUGAAAAACUAGUCUAAAUCAAAGGGUUAAGUUCCUUAUUAGAAAUGUACUUCAAAAUAACAUAUCUUUUAGCCCUAAAAAAAAUCUUUGUUAAACAAGUAUUGAAGAUAAUCACAACAACUGAUUAAUUAAUCAUGAAUACAAAAAAAGUAUGAUAAACUUAUAUACAACAAAAAUUGGAUUGAUGGUGACAAGGCCUUUUUGUGGUUGCAAUAGAGAGGUUGUCCUUGAGCAAUUGUUGUCCACGGACCUUUAUUAACUCGCAAGGUAUUCCUUUUGUGACCCAUAUAUGGGUGGUGGGGUAGAUUUGUAUUUUUUUCCCCCUUAUUUUUCUUUCUUUUUCUUAUUUUUUUCUUUAUCUUUUCUAUUCAUUGACGAGGGAAAGGAAAAAAAGUAUGUGAAAAAUCAAUCUAAAUCCAAGGGUUAAGUUAUUUAUUAGAAAUGUACUUCAGAAUAGCAUAUCUUUAAGUUCUAAUUUUUUUUUUUUAGUAACCAAGUGGAGAAAAUUAUAACAAUUGAUUAAUUAAUCACAGAUAUCAAGAAAAGUAUGAUAAACCUAUAUAGAACAAUACAAAAAGGAAAAUAAGAUACAAUAAUAUACAACAUUGGUAAAGGAAAUACAUAAAUUAAUUUAUUAAAAUAUUUAGAUAAAUGAUUUGAUUAUUUCUAAAUAUUACAAGAUUUCUAAGAAAUUUUAAAAGAAUUUGACUCGCAUUAAAAACAAUUUCAAGUUAAUGAUAUCAAAAUUAUUUAUUCACAAAAAUUCAAUUUGUUCACAAAAGAUUUGAUUUUUAUUUUCGUUCAAAUUUAUUUCCAAAAUGAGUUUUGCUUGUUUUUGUUAAAAGAAUUUAUUGAACACAAUUUUAUAUAUCUAUAUAUAUAAAGAAUGUUUAAAUUUUAUCUAAUUUAUAAGAAUUUUUUUUUCUUUUUCUAAAAAAAUUACAAAUUUAUUUUUGAGAAAUAUUUUGAUUCAAUUUUUAUCAAGAAAAAUGAUUUUCUAUUUUUUUUAAAUAUUUGCAAAUUUAUUUAUAGAAAGGGAUUUCAACCUAAUUUUAUUAAAAGAAUUUCUACAACUUCUAUAUUUUAGAAAUUAUUCCCAAUCCAAUUUUAUUAAAAAAAUUAUAUUUAGGAAAUGAUUUUACAUCUGUAAUUGAAAAAGUAAUUUUGCAAUUUUUAUUUUAAAAAAGGAAUUUAUAGUUUUUUAUUUGAAAAACUGAUUUUGAAAAUUUUUUAUUUAGAGAAGUGAUCUUUUAUUUGAAAAUUUUCAAAUGAAAUAUUCCAUAGUUUUUACUUGAAAAAAUAAAAUAAAAUAACAAUUUUUAUUUAAAAAGAAUCCUAACAAGUUUUAUUUGAAGAAAUAUUCUAGAGUUUUUAUUAAAAAAAUAUUUUGUAAUUUUAUUUAAAAAAAAAAGGUGUUGAUAAAAUCAACAAAAGAGAUAAAAUGUGGACAUGUUGUGCAUUAUUAAGUUUUCGGUCCAAGCCACCUAACUUUCACUUAAAUGGGCUUCGGCCCCUUGUGCGCACAAGGCUCCCCACACCUCUGCUAAGGGGGGAGGGUUAGUAUAUAAAACACCAUUAAAGUACCCAUCACUUUCCACGGUGGGAAUCUUUUAUUUAUUUUUUAUUUUUUUCACAUUAAAACAAGGGUCUCCAAAAAGCCUGCGGCCUGCGGCCCGGCCUAGCGGGCUAAAGCCCGGCUCGAGCCCAGCAGGCCCGAGCCCAUUUCUGGAUGAGCCAGGCCAUGGGCUCCAAUUUAGGCCCGGCGGGCUGGCCCGCCACUUAAAAAAAAAUAUAUAUAUAUAUAUAUAUAUAUAUAUAUAUAUAUAUAUAUAUAUAUAUAUAUAAAUAUUCAAGAAAUAGAAAAUGCUACAUUAAUAAAAAUAUUCAUUGCUAACUAUUUUAUUCAUUGAAUGUAUACGUUACAUUUGAAAAUGUGGGAAAAGUUUGCAUCACUACAAAAUAAAUACAUCCCAACUAGGUUGACACCUACUUAUUUGUCAAUCAUUUGUAUUUUUCAACCACAAAAAUAAAAAUAAAAAUAUAACAUACAUUUAGUAAAAUAUUUUAAUCAUUAUCUCUUGGCGGUGAUGGCGAACUAUCGCAAAUCCAUGAAGAUCUUGAUGAUUUUAGUUUUUCCAUAUCGACAAGCAUAUUUUCUUCUUAAAUAGAAUCAAAUAUCAUUUUAUCUGCUAUUGCCCAGUCUUUCACACAUAUAUUUGCUUCAAUAGAAUCCGGCGCUAAGCUGCAUCGUUUAUCACUAACUACUCUUCCACCUGCACUAAAAGCAGCUUCUAAUGCAACUGUACUCACAGGAACUGUUAGUACAUCACGAGCAAUGAUAGAAAGCACAGGAUAUUUGUGUUGUUGUGAUUUCCACCAUAUUAAAAUAUCAAAAUUUUCAUCAUCUUCAAAUGAAAUUAAAUCAAUAUUAAGAUAUCUAUCUAAAUCAAUUGUGUUGUUUGGAGAACUAUUUGUUGUCUUCUUUCGACUUUUUAACAUUUCUAGAGCUCCUUUAUAAAAAGAUGAAGAACUUGUAGAUGUAGGUGGUAAUUUAAUGAAACUAAUAUCAUCACCAUAUUUUUCUUUAUAAUAGUUAUAUAAAUUAUAUAAUAAUGAAUUUAUUUCAUUUUUAAUUUCUUCAAUUUUUAUUUGGUCAUUAAAAUAAAUAAUUGUUAACCAUUCAUCCAAAGCUUCAAAUUUCAAUCUAGGGUCCACAAUUAAACCAAGAUAAAAAAUUAAAGGUAUUUCUCCCCAAUAUUUUCUAAAUUUUUCUAUCAUUGCAAAUAUUGCAUCAUUAAAUAUAUCCAAAUUUAAAUAUUUUUGAAAUACAAUAAAAAUAUUAGUUAUUUGCAUGACAACUCGGUUUGAAGAUGGAUAAUAUACACCACAAAUUUUUUUUUGUUGAAGUAUCAAAUACUUCAAAAAGAUCUCUUAAAAGAUCUGCAAUAUGCCAAUCAUAAUCAUUUAAUACAUCAAUAUCUGCUUCACAAUCAUUGUUAAUUAAUUGUUUUUCAUAUAGUUCUACUACUUUUCUAUAUUUUGUAAUAGUUUGUAAAAGUUUAUAAGUGGAAUUCCAUCUAGUGGGCAUAUCCAAAUUUAUAUUUCUUUUUUUCAUAUUUAACAUUUUGCAACAAUAAAAAAAUAAUUCAUGUUUUGCUUGAGAACUAUUAAGACCCGCAACAAUGCCUCUAAUUUUUUAUAUUGUAUCAUCAAUGUGUUUUAAUCCAUCUUUUACAAUUAAAUUUAAAAUAUGUGCACAACAAUGCAUAUGAAAUAUUUUACAUUGAUCUUCUUUUAUUUGUCAAUAUCGUUUUAAUCUAGAUACUGCUGCAUCAUUAUUAGAAGUAUUAUCUAAUGUUAUUGUAAAUAUUUUAUCACGAAUGCCAAAAUCUAUAAUUUCAUCAUUUAUUAAAGAUGCUAUAUUUUUACCAUUAUGUGGAGCAUUUAUUAUUUUAAAUGAAAUAAUUCUUUUAUUUAAUUUCCAUUCAUUAUCAAUAUAAUGAGCAGUUAUACAUAAAAAACCACUAUGAGUUAAAGAUGUCCAAAUAUCAGAUGUUAAACAAAUUCUUCCUUCAAAAUUUGCAAAAAAAAAUUUUAAAAUUUCUUUUUGUGUUUCAAAAUUUUUUAUAAGAAUUCUUUUAACUGUAUUUCCAGAGCAACCUUGAAACUGAGGAUUAACAGCUUGUUGCAUUGUUCCCGUAAAAUCAUGAGUUUCCAUGAAAUUGAAAGAUUGUUAUGCUCUUAUUAUAUAACCAAUCAUUUCUUCACGACAAUAAGAUUCAUCAUAACAAAAUGUUUUUAAAUUUCCACUUUCAUCUUUACCUAAUUGCAUAUAAUUUCUAAUAUCUACAUUAUUUUUAGUUUUACAAUUUUCAUGAUGCCUUUUUAAAUGACUUGUACCUGCAUUUGAGCCACCACUAAGAAGUUUGUUACAAAUUUUACAUUUUACAUUUUGCUUUUAUUUCUUUUUUAUUAUUUUCUAAAUUUAUUUCUAUUCUAUAAAAAAAAUUCCAUAUAUUUGAAGUAAAUUUUUUGCUAUCACAUGCAUUAGAUGAAGAACAAGAACCACUUGCCAUAAUUAUAAUUAUUGAUAAAAUAUUAUGCUAAAAAUAAUAAAUGUAAAAUUAAAAUGUAACAAAUAAAUAAAAGUAAAGGUGAAGUAUGUUACUAAAUUGGAGAACCGAAGCAGAAAUUCCUUCAAAUUUGAACUCUUUGAACCACCAAUGCUUGUUUUUCACCACUAAUAAUAUUGAAUAAUUUGAGACAAAAUGCAAUAAUCGGAAAUAUUGUGGAAUGGGAAAGAGCUUAAGAGUUGAGAGAAUAGAAAAAAAUUGAGGGUAUUUAAUAUUUAUAGGGAUUUAAAUAUUAGGAUUUAAUUUUUUUUUAUUUUAUAAUCAAGACUGUUCAACGGUCAUAAUAUUGAAUUGAGUGGCAAGCAUGUUCAACGGUCAUGUGACCGUUGAACAGCCAGUUCACUUUUAUUUUUUUUCAAAAAUCAUACAACAUUUCUAAUAUAUAUAUAACUAAUGCAAAAUAGUUACACAAAAGAGGGCUAGCUCAGUUGGUGGCUAGCUCCCUUGUGGAUCCAUAAGGGAAGGGGUUCGAAUCCUCUUUCCUUCCCGGCCCGGCCCGUUGACCAGUCAACGGGCUCAAUGGCCCGCCCCGUUGACCAGUCAACGGGCUCAGUGGCCCACCCCGGGCUAGGCCAUGGGCCUUACUCCUCCGGGCCGGGCAGCCCGGCCCGGCCCGUUGGAGACCCUUACAUUAAAACACCCACACACACAAGCACUCUACCAACCAUUACUGGGCAGAUUUUUUUGGAUACCUACCUUAUAUAGGAUGGAUUUGAGAUAAACUUAAACAAGUCUAGCAAAUUUCAAUAAAAUUCUUAAAACCUGAGAUUGGUCUGAGACGGAUUCAAAUUUGACUAUAUCCUACCUUGAUAAUUGUUGUAGUAUGUGAUUCAUAUUUGAGUGAAAAGACAUAUGAAGAAAAAUAGGCAAAAUGUCCGAGCAAAACAGAGUGGAACAUAGUGAAUAUCCUAUUUCCCUGUUCCUGUGGACAUAGACAAUUAAUCGAACCACAUUAAAUCUCUGUGUUUUUCUUUCUCGUUUUUUUUUCUAUUUUUUUCAUCAUUAAUCAUUGCACGGAUUCCAAUAAUAAUAUAAUACAAAAUAAAAAAUUAUUUUAAUUGAUUUUUUUUACAAUUUAAAAUUUUUAAAGUUAAAAAAAAUAAAAAUAUGUAAAAAUAUGAUAAAAUAAAAAAGUUAAAUGGAGCUGGGUGGGGUGAGGCAAAUAUAAGAAUUUCCUACACCUGUCCCAUCCCUAGGAAUGGCAACGGGGCGGGUUCGGGACGGGUCGCCCCCAUCCCAACCCCGCCCCGUUUAUUUAAAAUAAUUCCCAUCCCCGUCCCAUUUAAAAAAUUAAACGGGGCGGGGUAGGGCGGGUAUGAUAAAUUCCCAUACCCGUCCCGCCCCGAGCAGUCGUGAAGUUGGUCAGGCCCAGGUGGUAACGCAACUCAUCCUCAGAGGCAGCGUAGGGUAUGUCUAUCUUGUUUCCCAGAAUGAGAAAUGGAACAUAUGCCAGUGACUCAUCAGAAAGGAGGGCAUCCAACUCCCUCUUUGACUCGGCAAAUCUUUCCUUGUCAUACGCAUCAACCAGGUACACCACAACAUCCACCUUGGCAUAAUAAUCCUUCCAGACUCUUCGAGCGAUCUGAUGCCCACCCAAAUCAAAGGCUUUAAACUUAAUUUUCCCAAUUCUCAAUUCCUCGGACGUUGGGUGUUGCGUUGGUUGAUGCUGAACUAAUCUCUCAUCCUUCAACAUAUGAAGCAACGUCGUUUUUCCCGCAUUAUCAAGCCCUAAAAAUAAGAUCUUUGCCUCUUUUUACCAUAGCCCCAAAGAUGCGAGAAGUCCAUAGAACCAAUCGAAAAGAAUCAUGGUGUUCCGACAAGAUUCGCGACUCAAAACGCGGCCAAUUCACCGGAACUAAGCCGAAAACCACAAACUUAUCAACGAACUUGUCGGAAAAUCCCACUGGAGGUAGAGAUUCAUAUAUUCAUAUAUUAUAAACAGGGCGGGACGGGGCGGGAUGGGGCGAUACCCGAACCCGCCCCAAACCCGUCCCGGGUUUUAAAAAAAAAUUCCAACCCCGUCCCAAACCCGUUUCUAAAAUUUGAACCCCGUCCCAAUAGGGACGGGGCGGGGCGGGUACCCGAAAAAACCCGCCCCAUUGCCAUUCCUACCCAUCCCUCCCCAUUUAAAUAAAAAAAUAAAAAGGUUAUUUUUUUUCUUUUUAUGAAGAUGAAAAUAAAUAUAAAUAAAUGCAUGAGGUUAGGAUGGAGUGGCCAUCCGAACUCAUUUUGUUGUCGUCCCAAAGCAAGAGCCUCAUUUUAUUUGUUUUUAAUUUAUUUGUCAACAAGAAUGCAGAGGUACAUCUUUCUUUUUUUUUUCAAGGGCCGUAAAGGAUGCAACUAUGGGGAGUUGUAGUCUGCUCCAGGACCUCGAAGAAGUUGCAAGACUGGAUCACUUUCUGAUACAAGCUCUCCAAUGGUAGCCAAGUUAUCAGUGAGCAUCUUCAACUUGAGUAUGUAUUCCAUCAUGGAGAGGGAACCUUUCCGAGUUAUCUGAAAUGCUAGCCGAAGCUGCAUUACUUGUGCUAUUGAAGAUACGGAGAAGAUCUUCUCUAGAGCCAUCCAUGCUGUGUGAGAAGUCUGAUAUCCAAUUAUUUGUCCCAUAAUUUCGAGAGUAAGGAAAGAGGAGAUCCAACUCAGGACCAUGCGUACCAAAACAUCACCAACCAAGGAAUUCUGAAUUAUUUUCAUCAAUGGUAUUCAUCUUAGGAAGACGGAUUUUCAGUCCUUCACUGUGUGUUCUUCAAAACUAUUAGUAAAGAUGACAUUGUCUAUUUGUAUACACCAGCGAAUGGAAUCAUCUCUGUUGAAUUUGAUGGGAAGUGAAUGAUUCAACAUGUUGUAAUAGCUCUGAUGCCAUGAAAGAACUGCAGUCAAGAAGAACAACCUAUCUAACUAUCUAACAGAUUAGUUUCUAUUCUGGUGAAGCUUCUAAAUGCUGUUCUGUUGAUGCUUCUGGAUGACUAUCAACCCUGGGUAGUAAAUCUCGUCCUUUCAUUUUCUUUUCCUUUCUUUUCGAUGCCCUCUCUUGUGAAUGCGCCUGACUCAACCGCUGGUAAAUGGCACUAUUUGAAAUGUGCACUAGGCUUUUCACAUGCGCUUCAAUCAAAUGGUUCAUAUGCAAUAACUAGAAAUAUCAUAAGGAAAGGAAGAACAAACGGAACUGAUAUUGAUGAAAAGAAAAGCUAGGAUCGUGCCCUAUUGAGUGAAAAGAUAACAUUUGGACUCAUAGGCUCAGUGGGAGACUUUCAAAUACCCUUGCUAAAAAGAAGAUUGAAAUACAGAGAGUUGGGACCUUCAACUCAAACCCUAGACUUAGUCCGUUAUAACAUCAAAUCCUACCAACAUGUCAACAAUCGGGCAUGUUCAUCCUUGAAACAUCUUUCAUUGGCAUGAGUUAGAGUCCUCUCCUACCGGAACCUGGCAGUGGACUAUUAUUUUUAAGAUAGUUCACCCUUUUUUUAUAGUCCAUUGGGGGCUAUUGUGGGCUAUGUCAAACAACAGAUCUUUCCAUUAAUGGUUCCAUUCUCCCAUCGAGAGGCUAUGAUACUAGUAAGUGUUAACCAAAACCCCACACAUACAAAUAAAAUGUAAAAAAAAUACAUGACAUUUUUAAUAUGAUUUAGCAAUCAAUGUGAUCCUUACAUCAACAAAGUGCUACUAAUUAAAAAUAAAUAAAAAAUAGAGGUUAUGAUGUUGAAGCUAUCAAAAAACACCUCUUAAUUGUGGUUACACUCUCUUUUUAAAAAAAAAAACCUAAAAACAUAAGAGGGUUAAAUAUAUAAUGGGAGGAAACUCGUGAUUCAUCAUAUUAAAAAAAAUCUCUAUAUUCAUACUUUACAAUUCAACAGUAAGAGUUCUAUUCUUCUCCUCUGGACUCAACUUGGUUUAUGAAAUAGAGGUCUCUUUUUUAAGUGUGUGGAAAGUCCAGUUUCAAACUAUCUAGAACUAUAAUGCCUCUUUACAUAUAUACUUGGAGAAAAAAGUUAAGCCUAUCCAUCUCAUUACUCUUUCGUUUCUACAAUCUUCAAAUCCUUCUUACCUUACCCUCAAUAUCAAUGUUUGUCUAAUUUGUGGUCUCUACCUAGCCAAGUGAUCUUUCCUAUUUGCCACUCUAUAAUGCAUGCUCGUGUUGUUUUACUCUUCUGGAGCCAUUUCUCUUUCAACUUCAAUAUUCCCCUAAAAUACUACCAUUUUUAAAAAAAAUCUAUACCAUUUAUAUUUUUUUAUUGAUAUUACUAUUUAUUAUAAAUAUCCAUUUAAAGUAAAUUUAAAAUGUAUGCAAAAUUUAAAACAUUACAAUUCAUUUUUAAAAAUUUUAAAAUGUUAUUAUUCAUUUUAUAUAUAUAUAUAUAUAUAUAUAUAUAUAUAUAUAUAUAUAUAUAUAAAUCUUAGUAUUUAUUUAAAAAUUUGACAAUAGGAGGAAUUUGACAAGAAGAAAAACAUAUCUGCUUUUCAAUGAUAGCAAGAAAAUAAAAGAAAAAAAAUUCAAUGAACAAGCAAGAAUUAGGGAAUUUUUUCUUGGACAUUUACUUUUAGGAGGAAUGAAACUUGGGUAAUGGGAUUAGCUGGGCUGGUUUGGGCCAGUUUGGGCCUAUUUUUGGGCUCACCCAAUUAGUGUACAUCUACAAUUCCUACUAUUUUGAACCCUAAAGUUUGUAAUCCACAAUUUCUUUCAACUCUUUAUUUUUUCUUUUAUCAUUUGGUUUGAAGACAUGCUAUCAAUCUCUCUCCAAUUCUCGAGUCUUCCUUUUUCCUAUGUCAUGAUCAAUUAAUACACUCUUAGUCACAAAAUGAUAUAUAUCAAAUUCUUUUGAAAGAAUUAUAAUGACCAUAAAUUUCAUAAUCAUAAAUGUUUAGGAUCACUCAAUGGGACAUAUUACUUCAGAUUCAUGAGAUAUUAUGGUGUCUCUAUUAAGAGUAUCUAUUAUUACUUAUGUAAACCACCAAUAACUAUAAUUAAUUAAUUUUUCACGUCUAUGACUUACUAUUCAUUGUAUGCAAGUUCUUUAUGAAUUGAUGUCCAUUAUUCAACAAGGUAAUAACUAUCAAUCUCUCUCCAAUUCUUGAGUCUUCCAUCCACCUAUAUCAUAAUCAACUAACAUACUCUUAGCUAUGAAUAACAUAUGUCUAAUUCCAUUGAAAGAAUUCUAAUGACCAUAAAUUUCAUAAUUAUAAAUGUUUAGCAUCACCCAAGGGGUCAUAUUAUCUCAAACUCAUGAGAUAAUAUAAUGUCUCUAUUUAGAGUAGAAAUUAUUACAUGUUUAAACUACCAAUAACCUAAUACAUAGGAAAUAUAUGAUAAUUUUGGGAUCUCACCCAAAGGCCAAAGCCACUAAUGACCUAAACUCUAGUGCAAUAAUCUCUUAAGAGUAGAACCAAUGCAACAUAUUAUAAUGGAGAAGUCAUAACAAUUCAAUAGUCAUUCAAUCACAACUCUCUAUGGAUUAUGUUCGAUGUUUAAGAACACACAUUAAUACAUUUACUAUGCGAAAACCAUCAACAAUGAACAAGACUAGUCACUCCAUUAAUACAUACAUAUAUAUAUAUAUAUAUAUAUAUAUAUAUAUAUAUAUAUAAUUAUGAGAUGUUGUCUCUCUACUCUAUAAGAUUAUAUAUAUGUGGGACUCAUAUGGAGUUAAUUUCUGUCCAUUUAUGUUUUGAUUUUAAUUUUUUGAUUUAAUUUAAAGAUAUGCAUGCAACCAUAAACGUUCAUCUCUUAGAUUAUGCCACAGUAAAACAUAGAUAAAAACUAAAUUUAAGAGAUUAUUAAGACUAACAGCAUGAAACUUAGGAAUGUGCUUGUGAUGUAUAUUUUUAAAGUUCGUCUUCUAUAUUUUGUUGCAAAUUAUAUUGAAAAAAUUUGAGCUUGAUGCAUAUUAUUAUUUCCUUCCCUUUCCAUUAAAUUCUUUAAUUAAUGAAAUCUUUAUUAAUGAAUUCUAAUAUAAAUUCAGUCAUUAUAUUGAAAAACAAUUUACCUUAUUGUAGUUCUAUGAUGAUGUAGUUAUGCCCGGCUUUCACGAGUAACAACGAUUUAUCGUAGUGGUUGGAAGCACUUUCAACUGUACGUUUAUCGGUCAUCUAAUGCAAUCUUCCAAACGCAAUACAAAGAGAUGGUUCAAGAAAUCAAACAUGCUAAAGACAGAGGCUCGAUUACCAAGGGAAUUUCCAUGGGAAAAGAUUAGGCAGUGUUACCAAGAAAAGUUGAUUAUCCACUCUCUCUUUUGUUGUUUGGAUGGUGGUUGAGAAAACUUGUCUCCGUAAAUCAGUGGAUGAAAUAUUUCUCCUUUUUCUCUUCUCUUAAUUUUCUGUCCAAUGCUAGUGAUGGGAACAUUUGGAUAUGUUUUUACAAUGAUGUAGCGGGUUCGAAGUGAUCAAAUAGAUAAAAAGAGUGAAGUUUUAACAUUUCAUUUGGAUGUCACAAGAAUAAUACCAAAACAAAAAAAAAAAAAAAAAAAGAAGGAAAAAGACAAAAAUGAAUAAGGAAGGACUCCUAAAUUUUUAUUUAAUUUUCAGAGACUGAAUUUUUUUUUUUUAAAUGAUUGACCUCACUGGUAGUAGCUAAAGUUGCUAGCUAGUCCAUUUCUCACUUUGAAGCUUUGCUUAAGAUGUGUGUGGAUGAGGGCAUUUUUUUUUUCUCUCUCUCUUUUUCUUUUUUUUCUUUUUUAUUUUCUAGGCGAGGAGUAUUUGCUGAUAUAGUGGGAACAUUUGGAUACAAUCCUUUUGCAAUAAUUGAUAGGUUGGAUGUAAGAAAAUAAAUAGAAAGAGCUACACUAGCUCAUCACAAAACUAAAAGAACUAUAAAAUUUCAUUUAAAUGUUAGAAAAUAACAAGAAAUAAUUCUUAAUUUGUCUUAUUUGUUUUAUUUAUCUUUGGGAGAAUGAUAUAAAUUAAAGAAAAUAAAAUUGAUGAGCUCCCCAACUAGUUGCAAGUGAAGUUUCCAGCUUGUUUAUACUUCUCUUUUCUUUUGAAAUGAAUGGGUAACUUGAACGUGUAUUCUUUGAGUGAGAUUAGCCCCCAUUUGUAUUCACCAAGGGGAGAGUGGAGUACUUGUAGGUUUGGUGGGGACAUUUGGAUAUCGAUUUGCAAUUAUUGGAGAGGUUCAAAAUAAGGACAUGGAUGAAAAGAGUUACACAAGUUCACAAUCAAGUUUAUAGAUUUGUAUGAUUCCAUCUCGAAGCACAAAAAGAAAAAGAGAAAAGAAAUAUUUUUAAAUUAUUUUAUUUAAUUUUGGAAGAAUGAAUUAAAUUAAAGGAAAAAAAAUGUUGAGCUCAUUCGUACCUAAUAAAAAUGCUUUUUCAUUCUUCUGUUUUCGUUUAACGGGGUGGUGGAGAAAACCUGGCUCUCUAUCUAUUCAUUAAAUGAGUUUUCCCUCUUUUCUACUUGUUGGUGAGGAAAAGAUGAAGUAUUUCUUGGUUUGAAUUCAACGUUUAGUUAUGGUUUUGUAAGGAUUGGGUAGGUUAAAAGUAAUGAAAUAGAUAAAAAUUAAAUAAAUAUUUCAGUUUAAAGAUUUGUAAUAUUUCAUUUGAACAUUUAAUACAAUUUGUAUGCAAAACUAUACAAAAUAUUUACAUAAAUUCUUUUGGAUGUUGUUAUAAAAUUGUGACACAUAAAAAUCCUAUGUUUUUGUUCAAAGUUGGAAAAUAAUAUGAAGAGGAAAAAAAAAAAAGAAAAAGAAAGAUUCUUAAAAUUCUGCUUAAUUGUUGAGAGAGUGAAUUAAAUUAAGAACAAAAGUAAUUGAGCUGUGAUCAUGAUAGUAUGUAAAGUUACUAGUCCAUUUUUUUUACUUUUGUGAUUUUUCUUAAAGAUGAUUGGUAGAGAAAACUUGACUCUUUGUUCGAAUGAGAUUAGUCUUUUUCUUCUCUCUCCUUUUUACAACGAAGACUAGAGUAUUUGUUGAUUGGUGAGAACAUUUGGAAGCCGUUUUUCAAUAAUUGAUAGGUUCAAAGUAAGGAGACAAAUAAAAAGAGUCACACAAGUUCAUGAUGACGUUUAAAUUAAGAAUUGUAAAAUUUUAUUUAAGUAUUGGAAAAGAACAAGAAAUGGAAAAAAGAAAAAGAAAGAUUCUUAUGGCAUGUUAGGUAAUUAUUAAAAAAAAACAAUUAUGAAAAAUGGUUAUUGAGAACAAUUUUUGAAAUUAUUUUUUGAUUUUUGUAGAACAAAAAUCUGUUUGGAAAUCUAAAAUAUUUUUAAUCUAUUUUUAAUAUUUUUAAAUGUGUUUUAAAAAUAAUUUUUAUAUCUAGUGUUUUAUUUUUAAUCUUUCUAUAUAUUUGUAUAAUUAUUUAUUAAAACAACCCUUAAAAACAAGUGAAAACAAUAAUAAUAAAAAAAAAAAACAACUACAAUAUGUUUUCUAAAAACAUCAUAUUUUCUGUUCUUAAGAAUAUAAAACAUAAAAUAGUUUUUUGUUAUCAAAAGUAUUUUUUAUAUUUUUUUUGUUACGGAGAAGAGAAUACUAUUUUAAAAAAUAGUUCUCAAACAAACCCUUAAUUUUUUCUAUUUAGUUUUGGGAGAAUGGAAUUAAAAAAAAAAAUGGUUGAGCUACCUAGUUGCAAGUAAAGUUGCUUGUUCAUUCUUCAUUUUUUCUUUUGAAUGGCUAACUUGACUCUUUGUUUGUUUACUGGAUGAGAAUAGCCUGCCUCGCCCCCUUUUCCACUCACUAUUGGGAGAAAGUAGUACUUGCAGAUUUGAUGGGGACAUUUGGAUAUGGUUUUGCAAUUAUUGGAUGGGUUCAAAAUAAGGAUGGAAUAAAAAAAGAUAAAACAAAAAAAAGAAGUUACGAGAGAGAUAUGACUUAAAUGGACAUGUGAGUAUGAACAAUAAAUAAUUGAUGGAGUAAAUAAAGAGUGAGGAAAUAUGAAACUCGUGCUUCAGGGUAGAAAUUUAAAGAGUGAGGAAAUAUGAGACGUUUCAAGACACAAUAGUUAUAUUUAUUUCUAUCAUCUAUAAUAUUCUCUACUGUAUGAUAGAAUGUUAUCAUUUAUCCAUAAAGAUAAGUAUUGUUGGUCGAUGAAUCAUAUCAAACUUUUGUGUAUCUUCCAUUAAUAUGAGACUUUUUUUUUUAUUCUUCCAUUAAUUUGUUACAAUAUUAAAGGCCCAACAAGUAAGAGUACAACUUGGGUCUAAUACCAAUGUUAGAAAAAAUUAAUAUUAAAAAUAAUAUUAAAUAUGUUUUAUGGUAUGAACAACAUAUAUGCAAAUCCUAGAAAAACAACUUAACAGAUAAUAUAAAAACUAAUUAAAUUUGGGCAUACCUCGAUCCUACUCCCCAAAUGAUGCCCUCAUGAUACAAUAAAAAAGGAUCCCACAAUGGUGAAUACUAUAAGAGCAUGCUCGCAUAUCCACAAUCCAAAAAGGCACCAUUAAGGACAAAUGGUGGAAAAAGAAACAACAUUUUGUUUAUCUUUAUUUAUGCACCUUUAAAUUAAGAGUUCCUUUUUUUUUUUUUUCUUUUUGCGUGUGUAUUCUGAGUGUAGAGCAAAGAAGAGCAACUUUUGACUAUAGAAGAAAAAAGCAUAAUUGAAUUAGAACCAAGUUCUUAGCUGUUAUCUCUUGGCAGUCAUUAUAAUCAAUUAAUCCAUCUAGAAACAAAUAGUGAUCACAUGCAACUAUUGUCAGUAAUGGAAGUAACCUUAAAAAGGAAAUAAACAAUAUUUGAAUGACUUCUAUUAACUUCCUCUAGGGAACAUUGUACAUAUAUAUGCAAAGAGGAGUGUGGCUGGUAAUAUUAGCACCAUAAGUAAACUCAAGGUCUUUCUGAAUCAAUAACUCCACUAUAUCAGGGUGAUCAUACCGUACUGCCUCGUGGAAUGCUGUGUCUUCCUCCAUGUUGGUCAUUCUCAGCAUCACUUUAUCUGUUCCUAUCUCACUCUCCAUCUCUUUAAAGACUGCUUUUGCACCAUCGAAAAGGGCUACCACAACAUCAAUAUAACCUUUCCUGGCUGCAAGAUGAAGGAGAGUGUCACCUCUCAGAUUUGGGAGCUGCAACAGAGAUGAACAUAAAGGCAACCCAAGGAUCCAUCUAACACCGUCCACUUUACCAUAUUGGGCUGCAAUAUGGAGGACAGUGUGAUAUUUUGGGGUUUAAUGGGGUUGAAGUUGGGCAUCUGAGUACUUGGAUUUAAGGGUAUCAGUAUCGCCUUCAUAUACCGCCUUUUACAGAUCAUCAUCCAUAGGAGCGAUCUCCAUUUGCCUACCAUCAUCAGCUGUAACUUGGUCUAACAUCUCAAUGUGGCUUGAGGAGUCCAAGUUAAGGUUCUGCGGUUUUGCACUUUGGUUGGAAAUCAAUUGUGUUAGGGUGAAUUCACAAUAUUCCAACAAACACCAAAACUUUUCUACCUUUUAUUUGUGCAAAAUUAAAUAGGUAAUAGCAACUACCAGCAAUAAAUAAAUAAACUCAUGCAACAGAAAAAUAAAUCAAACACUAGAAUUUUUAUGUGAAAAACCCCCCAAUGCGAAGGGAAAAACCACGGGACCUAGUCCAGUUCAAACUUCCAUUAUCAACAAUAAUGGGUUAUACUUGUCUUCUCUAGAAUAAUCUUUAAAGGCUGCUAAAUACAUCAAGAGCAUAUAUAGCCUUGGAUUAUAUAAUCUCUCUUGGCAAAAUAAACAAAGAAAAAUUGGAGAAAGUAUACCAAAAAUGUUGUUACUGUUCACGGGUAGUAACACCAGUUUUCGAGCUCAAAAUCUUAUCUCCACCGUUCAGAUUGUAGCUACUCGAGUUUCAAACAUUUCCUCCAAAUUUCAACUCUAUUGAACCACAGAUGAAGUGGGAUCGGCUUGUUGAUGAAAUCUGGGUAGAUGUGUUUUUUUUUUAUUUCUCUUCUCUUCUCUCUGUUUUUCUUUUCCUGAUCUACUUUUUUUUUUUUUAAAUGUAACUAACUUGGGCCCCAAGCAUAUGGGGCCCACUCCCUCACAUACGAGGAAACCCAACUCCUGACUAUGUGAUGGGCUCUACCAAGCUCACUUGUUUUCUACAAAAUUGUAGCUUCUCUGUAGGUAUUGGUUUUGUCAUCAUAUCUUAUCCAUUCUCAUCAGUAUGGAUUUUUUCAAGGCAAAACAAUUUCAUCUCUAGUACAUCACGAAUCCAAUGAUAUCUCACAUCAAUAUGCUUGGAUCUAGAGUGAAAAGUUGGAUUCUUACUGAGAUAAAUAACACUCUGACUAUCACAGUAGAGUAGAUACCUUUCUUGCUGUAGACCUAAUUCUUGUAGGAACUUCUUCAUCCACAGUAACUCCUUGCUAGCUUCAAUGAUAACAAUAUACUCAGCCUCUAUGGUCGACAAAGCAACACAUUUCUGCAACAUUGAUAGUCAUGACACUGUUUCCCCUAAAAAGGUGAUCAAAUAACCAAAAGUAGACUUUCUAGAAUCAACAUCCCCAGCCAUAUCUGCAUUUGUGCAUCCUAUAAGCAUAAGUUUGUUAGUCUCAAAACAUAAACAUGUCUUAGAAGUACCCCUUAGAUACAUGAGAAUCCAUUUCACUGCAGCCUAAUGUUCUUUGCCAGGAUUAGAAAAGAACCUACUGACAACUCCAACAACAUAAGCAAUAUCAAGCCUCAUGCACACCAUGACAUACAUUAAGCUACCCACAACUGAUGCAUAGGGAACCUUUCGCAUUUCUUCUUUUUCUUUCUCACUUGAAGGACUUUGUUUGGAACUUAGCUUUAGAUGACUUCCAAGUGAUGAACUCACUGGUUUUGCCUUGCCCANUAUUGAACUNNNNNNNNNNNNNNNNNNNNNNNNNNNNNNNNNNNNNNNNNNNNNNNNNNNNNNNNNNNNNNNNNNNNNNNNNNNNNNNNNNNNNNNNNNNNNNNNNNNNNNNNNNNNNNNNNNNNNNNNNNNNNNNNNNNNNNNNNNNNNNNNNNNNNNNNNNNNNNNNNNNNNNNNNNNNNNNNNNNNNNNNNNNNNNNNNNNNNNNNNNNNNNNNNNNNNNNNNNNNNNNNNNNNNNNNNNNNNNNNNNNNNNNNNNNNNNNNNNNNNNNNNNNNNNNNNNNNNNNNNNNNNNNNNNNNNNNNNNNNNNNNNNNNNNNNNNNNNNNNNNNNNNNNNNNNNNNNNNNNNNNNNNNNNNNNNNNNNNNNNNNNNNNNNNNNNNNNNNNNNNNNNNNNNNNNNNNNNNNNNNNNNNNNNNNNNNNNNNNNNNNNNNNNNNNNNNNNNNNNNNNNNNNNNNNNNNNNNNNNNNNNNNNNNNNNNNNNNNNNNNNNNNNNNNNNNNNNNNNNNNNNNNNNNNNNNNNNNNNNNNNNNNNNNNNNNNNNNNNNNNNNNNNNNNNNNNNNNNNNNNNNNNNNNNNNNNAGUGUUCCUUGCCUUUGAUUGUAAACCCUUCUGGUUGCUCCAUAUAUAUUUCCUCCUCUAAGUCACCAUGGAAGAAAGCAGUCUUCACAUCAAGCUGUUCAAUCUCUAGAUUCAUAUUGGCAGCUAAGCCUAACACAACUCGGAUCGAAAACAUCUUAACCAUGGGUGAGAAAAUCUCUUCAAAGUCAAUGUCUUUCUUCUAACUAAAACCUUUCACAACCAAUCUUACCUUAUACCUUGGUUGUGAUCUAUUUGGUUCAGGCUUCCUUUUUAGUAUCCAUUUAUUAUUCAAUGCUCUCUUACCCUUAGGCAACUUCAUCAAUUUAUAAGUGUUGUUCUUAUGCAAGGAUUUCAUCUCCAUGCAUAGCUUUCAACCUUUUUUUUUCUCAUCAUGUAGUAGAACUUCUUGAUAAUUUUCUGGCUCUACUCCAUCAGAAAGCAACAAAUACUCAUCACUAGUAUUCUUUCUAGAAGGUUGACACUCUCUAGUAGAUCUUCUUAACUAUGUUUCAGUAAGCAACUUUGAAGUAGCUUGUUCUUGCUGCUGUUCUAAGUCAUCAUUCUCAAUUGUAAGAUUUUCUUCUACAUCAUCAAAUGCAGACUCAUCAUUUUUGUCAAUUGUAUCAAUCUAUUCUUCUUACACAACUUCCAUGUGUUCAUUAUGUCCCAUAGAGUUAGGAGAGACUAGACUCAAAUCAACUUGUUCUUCACUGAAAGGCUUUGGCUUCUUAACCUGAUCCAAGUCUUCAAUGGUUUGAUCUUCGAAGAAGACAACAUCUCUGCUUCUUAUAAUCUUUUUGGUAGUUGGAUCCCAUAACCUAUACCCAAACUCUUCAUUUGAAUAACCCAAGAAGAUACACUGUUUAGUCUUGUUGUCAAGCUUGGAUUGCUCGUCUCUAGGAACAUGAACAAAUGCCCUACAGCUAAACACUCUCAAGUGCUCAAAGGAAACAAAUUUUCAUGUCCAAACCCUCUUUGGAAUAUCAACCUCUAAGGGAUAUGAUGGAGACAUAUUAAUCGGAUCAAUGGUUGUCCUCAUGGCCUCACCUCAAAAAGACUUAGGCAAUUUUGCAUGAGAGAGCAUACACCUUAUUCUAUCGCAGAUGGUCCUAUUCAUUCUUUUAGCUACACCAUUUUGCUGUGGGAUCUUAGGAAGCGUCUUCUUAAGCCUGAUGUCAUGAAUUUUGCAUUAUUGCUCAAAUGGCCCCCUAUAUUCAUCACCAUUGCUUGCUUUGACAGAUUUUAACUACUUCUCAGUUUGCCUCUCAACCUUCACAUGAAAAUCUUUGAAUACAUCAAGUAUCUGGUCUUUGGAUUUCAAAGCAUAUGCUUACACCUUUCUUGAAUGAUCAUCAAUAAAAGUCACAUAAUAAAGUGCACCACCAAGAGUAUUACUUUGCAUAGUAUAAACAUCAAUGUGAACUAAAUCAAGAAUACCUGGUUUUCUCGUGAAAGAAAUCUACGAAAUGCAACUCUACUUUGCUUUCUAAACAGACAAUCUGUACAAGGUAAUAGUGACGUACCUUUGACUGGUAGAAGCUUCUUUCUGGAAAGAACCCGAAGUCCCUUUUCACUAAUAUGACCAAGCCACUUAUGCCAUAGCUUAGUAAAGGCUUCAUUCUCAACAAUGUUCACAUCUCCCUUGAUUAAUCUUGCUUCUGUCUUGUAGAAGGUAUUGUUUUUCUUUCCCCUAGCUAAAACAAGAGAACCCUUGGUAAACUUCCAUUUACCCUCUCAAAGGUGACUAUGAUAGCCCUCAUCAUCAAGCUUCCCAACAGAGAUCAAACUAAAGCGCAUUUCAGGAACAUGUCUAACAUUUUUCAAAACCAAUUUGCACCCAAUGCUAGUUUCUAGCUCUACAUCUCCCAUGCCAACAAUUUCACAUUUUGCUUCAUGUCCCAUCCUAACCCAACCAAAACUGCCAUUGGUGUAGGAAGAGAAGAAAUCUCUACGUGCAGUGAUAUGAAACGACGUUGCUGUAUCAACCACCCAAGUGGAAUCCUGACAUGCAAGGUUUACACAUGCAUCAUCAUAAAUAAUGAUCUUAUCACAAUCAGAUGCCAAUGUCUUUGUUAUCUUUCUGUUCUUCACCUUUUCCUUUAGAUUGUUUCUUCUGAAUUUUCUACACUUUCUCUUAAUGUGCCCUAACUUGCCACAGUAAAAACACUUUAUCUCUUUUCGGGACUUUGACUUUCCUCUUAACUUGUCACGGUUACAAUCACUAAAAGGUUUUCUGCUUUCACUUGUCCACCACCUUUCUGUAACAAGUGCUUCUGUAUUAGAGAAAAUACCUAACUCUUUUCUUCUUGCCUCUUCAUUAAACAUGUUGUCCUUUACCAUUUUGACAAUUCUCACACCAUUUGGGGCUGAAUUACUCAAGGAUACCACCAAAGUUUCCCAACUGUCUGGUAAGGAACUCAACUAAAGUAAAGUCUGUAUCUCAUAAUCUAACUAAAGCUUAAUGGUAGACAACUCAUUCAACAGUCUCUGAAAAUUACUGAAAUGCUCUGCAACACUAUUACCAUCCUUGUACUUUAAAUUCACAAGUCUUCUUAUUAUAAAGGCUUUGUUCUGUGCAGUCUUUAUCUCAUAAAGACUCUCUAAUUUCUGCCAAAUGCUAUAUGCAUCAACUUCCUUGACUACAUGAUGGAAGACACUCUGAUCAACCCACUAUGUGGACCCGCAUUUUUCACGUGCGUCCCCACUCGAUCGGCGAGACUCGCUUUUUAUUUAUUUGUGAAAAAUUGAUUUUAGAAAAGUUGGAGUCGCCACCUAUUUUAUUUUUAUUUUAAAGGGAAAAUAAAACAAGAAAGAAAACCCUAAAAAAGUGACUCCAUAGUUUUGGAAGAAGCAUGUCUUUGAGAAACCCGAGUCUAAGUCCGGGGAUCAGGUUACUUAUUGGGAAGGUACCUCUAGGAGGUAGCACCCCUCUAAGCCCCAAAGAGGUCUCUACUGACAAAGUUAAGGGAAGUGUGACCAUUAAUCAGUUAAUUUUAGGUACCUAAGUAGGCUAGGUGAUUUCAAAUAUUGCAUGCCUAACAAGAAAACGAACCAUAAGAGAGAGUCGAAGUGCGUACCUGAACGGCUUCUCAAGCGCUAUCAUGAAACAUAAGAGAUUAGUUUGGAAAUAUGACACAUGGUAUGUAUUUUCAUCAAAGAUGAUCAAACAAGCAUCAAGGCAAUCAAUUAUGGCAUCAAACAUGGUCAUGUCUCAUGAGAAGAUACACAUUCAUAGAAUUUUAGGGUUGUGGGGUAGAAAUGGCGUACCUGAUUAGCUAGCAUCCACAUCUCUAUGGGAAGCAAGGAUAUCUCAACAGUAAAAUAAUGAAUUCAAGGAUUUCACCAAGAAGAAUAAAAAAUCAACAUAUCAAGCAAAUAGUAUUGAAGUGAAUGCUAUGAAUGUCGGGCCCCCACCAAAGCCCUAGUUGAUUUCGCAUGAGUUUGUUCUAUGAAUUCCAUUGUUUGGAAUCAUGAAGUGUAUUCAUGCUUAUUGAAAAUCAAGAAAAACACAAAAAUAGUUAAAAAUCAAAUAAAACAUUGAAAGUGCAUACCCGAAGGAGAGUGGCAGCAAAUAGCAUGUUAAAAUUGGGAUUUUAUACCUAGAAACUCCUAAGGAAUUUUGAAGAAAACCAAAGUUAUUUGAUGGAAAAAGAUUUUUGAAAUUCAUAUUUAAGAUGUAUAAGAUCACAAAAAAAAAAAAAAAAAAAAAGAAACGAUAGGAGGAGUACGAUGUGAGGCAUAGUGACCACGUUGGAGUGAGGUCGGGGGUUAUGACCAAGUUUGCACUGUUGGUGAUUGCAGGCACUGCUGUCAUUUUCUCUAGAUUUUUCCUUCUGCUCUCUCGUAUGCAUUUAGGUACCUUACAUCACUGCAUUCUCAGACCUUUUCUAAUUCCUUGAAAUCCCCCUACAUUCAGAUGCAGCAUCAAUAUUGUUAGAGCAAGUGUCGGCAUCUUCUAUGACCUCCUUAUUAAUUUCUUCUGAUAUUUCAGAUACGGAGCUGAGACAUCCACUUUCUUUUCACCACUCUGUUUCUGUAGCAUCUCUACUUCCAUUGCUCUUGUGAUGGGAAAUCUUUCAGAGUCUUUGCUGAAAUCUUCUACAACCUGUAGGUUUACAGUUUUAGUCUGCACUUCAGAAUCUGUCAUUCUAGAAUUUUCAGCGAGCAUUGUCUCAGAAUGCCAUUCCUAUUUAACCGAUUCAACUUCAAUGGAUGUGGCUGGAAACCCCCCUGAUGUCUCUCUCUUUCUCUAUGAUCAGUUCUUUGUUGUUUUCAUACUCUUCUGCAGGUUUCCUAGCUCCCUCAGGAACCCCUGCUGGCAGCCUCAUGAUUCUGUCACUUUCUAUUGGAGAAUCUGGAACAUAUCGGUGAGUAAUCUUGGAAACAAUUGGGCAAUCUGUAGGUUCUUCACUUGUUCUCAUUGCUAAGUUACCCCAUUCCAUCUGAUGCCUUGGACCUGCCACCGCUGCUGGUAUGUUCCGUUGAACUAAGCAAGCUUGUUGAUGAUGCCAUUAAAAUUGUCUUGACGACAGCGAGGAUCUACUAAAGAUCACUUUCUUGGCGUCUCUAGCUCUGUGAGAUAUCUCAAGGUGUAGCUCGAAAGACUCAUAGUCUGAGAUCUUAUCACCAGUGGUGUUUGCUUGGCUUGCUUCUUUUAACUAUUUACAUGAACAAAACUGAAAGCUAAUGCAGUGUUUCAAUCCACAGAUGGUUGUUUCACCUCCGACUUCUCACUUACUGGUGUCAAUAAUAAUGACAGUAUCCUGACUUCAAUCAUUUCGAGUUCCAGCAAAGACUUUAUCCUGAAGAACUCCAAUCUGAAAUUCUGAAGUACUGAUGCCCUGUAACCCCUGACUCAUGAACGCAGCUUCGACUUAUGUUGCUUGUCACUUGCUCUUUUUAAUACUCCCCACCUUAUUCUCUUCCACCUAUAGUUUGAUUGUCAAUCAUUUCUUCUCUUCUUCAAACUCUCAAAUCUGUGCCCUUAACUUCUCAAUCUGAAAUUCUGGAGCAGCUCGCUUUUCUCGUAGAGACUCGGUUUCUGCUGCAUUGGAUUUUCUCUUCAAAUCCUCAUUUACAAUUUUUGGCUGCUCAUUUUCUUUCAUCAGCUUUGCAAUUUCAUCAGCUUUUACCUGAGCUUGUCUUGCAGCCUCCCCCUUAGAGUGCAGCUUCCAGCAUCUUCAAUUUGCUCAGCUAAGUUACCUUCAAUCUCUGGGACUGACCAGUUCAUUUCUGUUUUGCUUUUGGACCCAUGCUUCUUCCCUUUCUUUCCCUCGAGCUCUGAGAAUUCUUUGUAUUGAACCCUUAUAGUUGCCCGAGUAGUCUUCUGAUGGAGUAGCUCGCACCAAUAACUGAAGUGUUUUCAAUUCCCUGGUCUGAAAUAUCCAACAACUGCUUAUAAGUUGAAAAGAUUAAAGAAUCAAGUUACUUGGAGAGGCUACUAAACAUCUCAUCCCCUGGCUAAACUUCAAUGAGAAGCCUCCAGUCCCAAAGAUUUCUUCCACUGAUUGUGUUUCAAUGCCAACUGUGAAUUUCUAUAAUUCUGAACUCAUGGCCCAGCAAAGUUCAGAUCCAUUAUGGUUAAACAUGGUCAGAAUAGGACCUGAAAUGCCAACCAUGCCCAGAACAUCUUUUACCACUUCGAUUUACUAUUUUGCCCAUUUUAAUUUUCAAGCGAAUAUGACUAGUUGACGCACGACCUUUUACCUUUGACCCCUCAGGUUUAUCAGUAAUGCAGUCUUCAGAGAUAGCAAAUUAUUCCUUUUCCACCCUUGUGCGCUUUUCCACCAAGAUAACCGAAGAAUUCUUAUAGUACCCCUGAUUCAAACCACCAGAUUUACCUAAAAGUGGCAACUCAUAUUAUUGUUUUUUUUGCUGAGCAAACAGGGUCUCAAAGUACGCUUUCUGCAACCCUAACAAAAUCUCCAUGUGAAGUGCCAAUGAAAUUCCUUACUGAAGAAGGGUCACCCUGGCUAGCAGCUGUACGUGUUGCAUAAUCUGAAGUUCCUUGCAUGUAGUGGACACCAUGCGAUUCCAUGUAUGAGUGAAGGUCAGAGCCCAUAAUUUUAUUCCAGCUUGUGCAAGCUUGUCAAUGCAGUGAUCUCUUCUUCAAUUACUGCUUCAACACCUUGAUAUUUCGAUUCAGAAUCCAUUUCAGAUGCUCUUUUGAUUUGUUCUUUAAUUAUAUCUUCCUCUUUCUUGGUAUAACAUUCUCUGUCAAGUCUUCAUCAUCACUUGAAUCAGAAGAAACGUUUCCAUAUGCCUCAUCAUGCAGCUUUUUGUAAUCCCGCCUUUCUACACGUCUCUUUGCAGACAGAGGUGCAUUAUCUUGACCAGAAUUUGACUCCAACACAGAUAAGAGCUCAUCCUUUAACUGUACAUUUUGAAUUACAAAGCCCUGGUGAAUGCGAGGUAUCAUAUUAUUAGCUGCAAACAACAUGGUGUACACUUAUAUUAACACUGAUUGGGAAAUUAAUUGCAGUAACGGUAAGCUGAUCGCGACUAGAGGAUGCUGAGACAGUCGUGAGUAAGCUCCACACAGCAAAUGAAGAAGUCAUUCAAGCACUCCUGAAACUUCCCUUCACCGAUUUCAUAUACAACAUUAGGAAUUGGAUAGAUGCAGGACUUUGUAUGAUUGACAUAGUAUUGAAGGCAUGUCUGCGUCUCUGAGAGGUCUUGUCAUAGAUAUUCAUGAAUAUUUUUCUUCCGUAACUAGGUCCCCUGUAUUUCUUUCAAUUGCAGGUCCAUAAUCUCUCAAACUUAUAUCUGAGUUCUCUAUGGCCAUUUUGUUUGACGUGUGUUCAGAAUGAGUUUUCACUCCCAUGUGCUUGAACUGAACUCCCCUACAGUUAUUAUUUGAGGCCAAGACAAAGGGUGUGGAGGAAUCAUCUUUCUGGGUAAUGUCGGUCCUCUUUUAUACCAGUCAAAAGCUUAUCCCAAACUUCUUAAGGAACUAAAACAUAAUCAUGUCCCUCCUCUAGCGUAUUAAGAAUCUCCAGAUCAUCAAGUUCUUAUUCAUUUCCAUUUAAAACAAUAUCAGAAUUAUCAAUAGGUCCAGGCUUCUCUAUUGUCUUUGAUGGAACCACAUCCAAACGCUGUGAAUCAGACAAAUGUCCAUUGAUUGUUGGAUUCCAGACGCAUCAAUUCACAUCUAACAGCCACUGGAAGCUGCAGAAAUAUCAGUAUUUCUAGGCGGGUCUUCCCUGAAGAUGCCAUGCUAAACGUAUAUCCUUUCAACCUCAGCUUCCAUGCCCUUGCUGUAACGUAAAGUGGACUGUCUCUUAGCUUCAGCCCAAAAAAAAACUGGAAUUCUGGGCCUUCGCGAUCUGGAUGGCAAUUCUGCUCACGGGAUGUAAGUCUUUAAUUUUGCUUUAGCGUAGAAUUUUAAUUCGAAGAGUCCUCAUGGUAAUGGAGUUGACAGAAGGUUACCGUCAUAGGAUUGCUUGUCCACUAAUGGAGCAUCUCGAGAGAUUCUUCAAUAAAAUCGAUUAAGCAUAGAAGUUGAUUUCAGCUUUAGAUGCAAUCAUGACGAAUUAUAGUUGAUUGCUAGCUUCUACUGAAACAGUAUUCUGACUCCCAGCUUCUGGCACUACCCGUGAUCCUUUAAUUUUAUUGUCUUCUCUAAUUGCCAUAGUUUUUCUUCUAGACAGCAGCAAUGAGGAUUUUGAAUUCCAUGACUGACUCAUCUGAUUAAUUAACAUAUAGAGAAGAUUCUUCCAACCGGAGCAUUUGAGACUCACUUAUCAACAGAAGCUGCAUCAAUUUCUUUCUUUCUGCUAUUUUUCCCGCCACUAGAUCCUAACCCAUGACAGCUACCAAUGGCUGAAGCCGUAGAAAUAGUGUAAGAACAUUGCCAGCUUCCAUUCCCCAUGACAUUUUUCCUUAAAGAUCCAGAAUCUCAACCCCAAUCGCAUCUCCUCAUUAUUUCUCAUCUCUUUCCAUAAUCCCCAAAAUUUUUGAACCAACGCUGUCAACUUUUUCCUUGCUUUCAGAAUCACACACUCCUCUGUAGAACUGAUUAGAGCUGUUCCUGAAGGUGAAUGGCCCAGGUUGUAUUUGACUUUUAGAUUUUAGGAUCACAACGACAGUACCAGAAGGCUUAGAGAAGUCCAUGAUUUCGAGCACCACAUUAUGCUUAUCCGAAUGCAGAAAAAGCAGAGUGUCCCUUUUCCCAUGAUUUUUAAUUUUUAACUCCGAAGCAGAGAACAAAUCUUGAAGGCCAGGAAUAGAGCUUGUUGAGGUAUGGACCAAAAACAGAAGAAGACAACAAAAACGUAUAGAAAGAGAGGAAGGAUGAUCAACAAAAGUCACAAUUUCGCAUUUCAAUCCAUUAGCUUAGAACAGGGGAGUGAUUUCAGAAUAAGAUUUGAAUAAAAACCGGACGUGAUUUCUACUAUCCAGUCUGAAGAUGGACAUGUAUGCAAUUUAUUUUCAGGCGGGAUCGAUGACAUUAACAGAAUGAUGAACAUAUCAAACAGACAAAGAUCUAAUUUCAACACAGCAAUUUGUGGCCCUUUCCGUCCACACCAACCAAUAAUAUAUUGAAUAUUCAGAAAUCAUCAAAUGGAGGAAUCGAGUAUGAAUAAGAACAUCAAAAGUAACCAGAAACGUACCUGGGCAGCCUUGCUUCCAAUCUCCCUCCCUUUCUGCUCUUCUCUCUGCGCUUUUCUUCAAGAUCUCUCUUUUUCUCCUUUCUUCCAGCCCCUCUAAAAUUCCAGUACGUGCCCCCCUUUCUUCCUUUUUUCCACCUAUAUAUAUCACCCUUCAGGACCUAAAUUUGUUUCCAAAAAAGAGAAUUCUCCUAUUUUCUUUCUUCUUCUCUUCUCUUUUUUUAAAUCCUUCAAUCAAAAGCAAUCUUCCCAAUUUCAAAUUCCCCUCCAAAACCUUCCAAGGAGAGUCCCGCCUUCCUUAAACUUCAAUGGUAAGUUUCCUUGCAAAAAUAUGAAAUUUUUGAAGUUAAAUAAUUGCAUGAAUAGAUAAAUAAGUAAAUAAAUUAAAAAAUGGUAAAAAUAAUAAAUAAAUAAAUAAGUUAAGGAAAAUAAUAUAAAGAGGAAGAUAACCAAUAAAAAGUGAAUGAUAAUCAUAAAAUUAAAACUAAAAACAAAAUAAAUAAAUAAAUAAAAUAAAAUAAAAUAAAAGUCUUCGUAGGCCUAGUGUGCCUAAACGGGCCUAAGGUGAGACUAAGUGGGCCUAGGGUGGUGCCUAAUGGGCCAAGUGUAUCUAAAAGCUAUCCUAAAAAAAAAGCAAGAAAAGCCUAAGUCUAAAUUAGGGCUGCCAAGGGUCACAAUAAGGGAUCAAAUAAUCCCUCAACCAAAAUCUCCGAGGUGACUCAGAAAAAGGUAAGUGGUAUGAGUAGCCAUGGGCCACCAAAUUUUGAAGCACUGAAAACGAAUUUUAAAGACAUGUGCUAAAGGGACAAAAUUGAGGGUCUACACACUACCUAAUCUGUCCAAUGGUUUUCCUAUUUAAUUUUUUCCACUCAUCCUCAAUUGUAGUAACUAGCUUAUAACCCCCGCAUUCAGUGGGCUCAAACAACUCUUUGCAAUAUAGAAUAUCCUCAAUUUUAGUCUUCCAAAUUGAAUAAUUGGAAGUUAUGAGUUUAAUCAUUCCACUGUCAGCCUCCUCCAUUUAAUUCACACAAAAGAUCCCAUUGCUAAUCAACUUGGCUUUGAUACCACUUGUUAGGGUGAAUUCACAAUAUUCCAACAAUCACCAAAAAAUUUCUACCAUUUCUUUGUGCAAAAUUAAAUAGGUAAUAGCAACUAGUAGCAAUAAAUAAAUAAACUCAUGCAAUAGAAAAUUAAAUCAAACACUAAAAUUUUUACGUGGAAAACCCCCCAAUGCGAAGGAAAAACCACGAGCCCUAGUCCAAUUCAAAAUUCCGCUAUCAACAAUAAUGGGUUACACUUGUCUUCUCUAGAAUAAUCUCUAGAGGCUGCCAAAUACAUUAAGAGCACAUAUAGCCUUGUAUUAUAUAAUCUCUCUUGGCAAAAGAAACAAAGAAAAAUUGGAGAAUGUAUACCAAAAACGUUGUUACUGUUCACGGGUAGUAACACUAGUUCCCGAUCUCAAAAUCUAAUCUCCAUCGUUUCAAUUGUAGCUACUUGAGUUUCAAACCUCUCCUUCAAUUUUCAACUCGAUCGGACCAUAGAUGAAGCGAGAUCGACUAGAUGAAAUCUAGGCAGAUGUGUUUUUUUCUCUCUCUCUUCUCUUUUCUCUGUUUUUCUUUUCCCGAUCUACUUUUUUUUUAAAAAAAAAUGUAACUAACUUGUGCCCCAAGCAUAUGGGGCCCACUCCUUCACAUACUAAGGAGCCCAACAGGUUGAUCCAUGUUUGGUCUUGGAGCAAUGCACUAUAUCUUUUCCAUUUUUCUAAAUCCUUAUCAAAAGUUCCCUUUAAUCUCAUGUCCAUGAUUACGCUCACACACACAUAUAUAAAUCUUCUCAAUAGUUUCCUCAUUUCCUUUUCCUUUUCUUUUCUUUUCUUUUCUUUUUUUUGUCCUUUUAGAGUUGAUAUUGAUGGGGUUGUGAAAAAUGUUUUUCAAUUUGAGUGUUUGUUUUGAAAAAUUAAAUUAAAAAAAAACAUGUAAAAAAAUUUAUUGAAUGUUUUUUUUUCCUACUUAUUUUAUUUUAUUUUUUAUUUUUAUUUUAUCAAGGUUAGAAAAAAGCCAAUGGCAUUUGAGGAUAACAUGGUUGUCUCUUUCAAAUAGUAGGUCAACUUUUUGUUAGUAUUCUAUCAUAUGUAACAAUUCUUUUCUAUUUUUUGAUAUAAUUAAUGGAAAAUGAUAGACGAGUAGUUGCUUUUAGAAAGUUGUCUAGAGAGCAGGAGUAGCUUUCAAAUUUUGUUAUAAAAAAGUUCAUGAAGAUGAGAGUUAUUUGACCAUAUACAAUUUUCUCUUUCUUUCUAUAGAUAAGAUAAUUUUUGGUUGUAAUUUCAUAAGUAAUAUAUUUUUAUUUUAAUACAAUAGCAAAAAUUAGAAAAAAAAAAAAAAUGAGAAACUUGGGGUCUCACAUGUAAAGAUUAGAAAGGAGUCAAAACUCAUGAAAAGAAUCAAUGAAUUUUUUUUUCUUUUUAUUGUUAUAUAAUCAUAAAUAUAUAUAUUUUUCUAUUUUUAAAAACAAAAAUAAAACUAAAAUUAAGAAAUAUAUUAGAUAUUUUUAAAUGUUAAAAAAUGUAAUUAAAAUUUUAUUGAUACCCCCUACUUCUAAAAGUCAUAAAAAUAAAAGUAUGAAUACAUGUUGUUUCUCCUUUUUGGUAAAGAUCACUAGUAUCAAAGAAAUUAUGAAGACAUAUUUCUUCCCCUUUUUCUUUUUUGGUAUCAAAGAUCACUAAUUAUUAUUAUUUUUUCAUAUGUAGCAUAUCAAAUAUAAAUCAAUACCAAAUACAAAUGUUGAUAAAGACUAGGAAUCUACCAAAUCAAAGUGGUAGAAGUAUAUUAAGGCCCUACCAUCUUUGUCAAGAUAUAUGUGUUGGCCCUACCAUUUUUGUCAAGAUGUAGGUAAUAAUAUCCUUGAAUUUUUAUCACACAAAUUAAAACAAUAAGUGGAAAUAUCAUAACACAACAAUUGUUUUUUUAGAGAUGAGUAGUCCCUUCCAACUUAGUUUCACAAUCAUAGAUAUUUUGUAUAGCUUAUGUUUAUAUUCAAAGAUGUUUUAUGUACAAUAUUGGUUGUAAUUUUUUUGGUUAUAUAGUUAUAUAUAUAUAUAUAUAUAUAUAUAUAUAUAUAUAUAUAUAUAUAUAUAUAUAUAUUAUUUCUUAAGUAUAGCAAUUGGUCCACUUUUUUCUCAUAUUUGGAUUAGCUAAUUAAUUUGAUUUCCAUCCUUAGGACCCAACAAGUGACAAUUCAAAUAUAAAUCAAUAUCAAAUAUUAAUAUUGAUAAAGACUUGGUAUCUACCAUAUCAAAGUGGUAGAAGUUUCUCAAGGCUCUAUCACAUUUCUCAAAAUGUAUCUGUUGAUCCUAUCACCUUUGUCAAUGUAAAUGUUAAUAUCCUCAAAACUUUAUCAUAUGAAUUAAAACAAGUGGAAAUUUAUCAAAACAUAACAAUUGUUUUUUUGAAGAUGAGUAGUUUAUUUCAACUUAGGUUCACAAUCAUAGAUAUUUUCUAUAGCUUAUGUUUAUAUUCAAAGAUAUUUUAUGUACAAUAUUGGUUGUAAUUUUAUAUAUAUAUUGGUCCACUUUUCUCUUAUAUUUGGAUUAGCUAAUUAACUUGAUUUCCAUUGAAAGGACCCAACUAGUGACAUUUUGAUUAAUAUAAAUCAAUAUCAAAUAUUAAUGUUGAUAAAGACCGGGUAUCUGCCUUAACUAUCAAAGUGGUAAAAGAGCAUCUUAAGGCCCUAUCACAUUUCUCAAGAUAUAUGUGUUGGCCCUAUCACCUUUGUCAAGAUGUAUGAGUUCUUUUUUUUUUUUUUUUUUUUAUUUGAGAUAAGUAGUCCCCUUCAACUUUGGUUGACAAUCAUAAAUAUUUUGUAUAGCUUAUGUCCAUAGUCAAAGAUAUUUUAUGUACAAUAUUGGUUAUAAUUUUUUGAUAAUUUCGAAAGUAAAAAUUUCAUAAGAUAUCAAUUUUUUUUUUCACUCCUAAAUUUAUUUAGUGUAAUUUUAGAACUCAAAAUUCACUCAUAUAUAUAUAUAUAUAUAUAUUAUCAAAUCAAAAUCAUUAAUGUCUCGUGUAAGGGAAACCUAUUAAAAAAUAAUUUAAAAAAUUCUACUAAUUGUGAUAUAAUUACAAAAUAUUUUUUUUCCUAUUUUUGAAAAUAGAAUUAAAAAAAAGAUAUUUAAUGUUUUUAAAUUUUUAAAAUAUAUAUACCUAAAUCAUUAUUUGUAUUUUUACUUUAAAAAAAACACAAAAAUAUACUAAAUGAAACCUAAGGAUCUCACUACAGUCGAAAAAUAUUUAAAAUUUGAAAAGCAAAAAUUUCAAAAGUAACAGUAUCAAUUUGCUUAAUUUUAAAACUCAAAAUUCACUCAUUUUUUUUCCUUUUUAUCAUUUCAAAAUCAUCAAUGUCUCUUGUGUAAAGGAAACCUUUUAAAAAAUUAUUAAAAAUUUUCUACUAAUUGUGAUAUAAUUACAAAUAUUUUCUUUCUUCCUAUUUUUGAAAAUAGAAUUAAAAAAUAUAUUUAAUAUUUUAAAUUUUUUUAAAUAUAUAUAACUAAAACAUUAUUUUUAUUUUUACUUUUAAAAAUAAAAAAUAAAUAAAACAAAAAAACAAAAAAAUACUAAAUGGAACUUAAGGAUAUCACUGAAGUCUAAAAUAUUUAAAAUUUCAAAAGUAAUUAAGGGUUUUGAAACUCAAACUUUAAUUAAUAUGAUUUUAAAACUCAAAAUUCACUCAUAUCUUUUUUUUUUUUUUUUUUUUAUCAAAUCAAAAUCAUCAAUGUCUCUUUAUGUAAAGGAAAUCUAUUAAAAAUCAUUAAAAAAAUUUAUUAUAAUUUAAAAAGAUAUUUAAUAUUUUAAAAUUUUUAAAAUAUAUAUAUAACUAAAACAUUAUUUGUAUUUUUACUUUUAAAAAUAAUAAAAAAACAAAAAUAUAUCUAAAUGCAACCCAAGGAUAUCACCACUGUAUUAACAUUGAUGAUUUUGGUUGAAAAACAUUUAAAAAUUCAAAAGUAAUAAUUUCCGAAGUAAACUGUUUUCAUUCCUAAAUUUAUUUAAUAAUUUUAAACCUCAAAAUUCACUCAUUUCUUUUUCUUUUUCUUUUUUUAUCAAAUCAAAAUCAUCAUGUCUCUUGUGUAAAGGAAACCUAUUAAAAAAACAUUAAAAAAAUUCUACUAAUUAUAAUAUAAUUACAAAAUAUUUCUUUUCCUAUUUUUGAAAAUAGAAGCGAAAGCAAAAUUAAAAUGCAACCUGAGGAUAUCACCACAGUUGAAGAAUACUCUAGUAAGAGGCCUAGUAGGAAGGAAAUUUUGUAAGUAGUCCCCCAUAAAACAUCCCAAGAUGAUAUUAUUUUAUUGGAAAUAUAUCUUAAAGUCAGUACUGACGAUCGCUAUUUACGCAUGAAUUUGUAUUUAUGAACAAAUCUUAAACACUUUGUUUUAGUUGAUAAAUCAUUGCAUGCACCAUAAGAUUCAUAAAACACCUUGAGAUGAUGUAAAUUCUAGUGUGACUGUAGAGGAAGGUUGUCCUUAAUAUUAGCUCCCCUCCAUAGGCCAACUUUGAAUCUUCAUCGAUAGAAAACCUUACAACAUUAAGGUGAUUUUCUUUUUUCUUUUUUUCAUUUUUGACACUCUAUAGUUUUCUUCAAAUUACUGACAACGCCAAAGUAGUCUUUAGACUCUAUUCAAGCAAUAUAGAAAAUAUGUGAAACUAAUCAACCUUAGUAAUUGUUAAAAAUAAUUUUAUUCUUUUAAUUUAUAUAUUCUACUAUAUAUGCAUGUGUCCCUUUCAAGCUAAACCUAUGCCAACUUCCAAUAAUUACUCUCCAUUUUGAUAUAGAGUACAAAACAUGUUAUUAUGUAUGAGGCAUUAAUCUAUGAAAUAAAAGUAAAAUUAAUGUAAAAAUCCUAAUGAUGAUCAACACACAACCAUUUCAUUGAAAGUGGUAAAUGUAUCUAUGUUCAAACCCUACUAGCUUUAUCUUAGGAGUUAAAAGGAGUAGAUGCAAGCACAAUAGAGCAACAUAAUUGUUUUAGUAGAAGCACGUGUCUCCUUCAAAGCUAUGUCCAUAUUUUCAUAGUUGUCUAUUCAAAUAGGAUUUCCUUUCUCUUUCUAACAUUGAUGAAUAGCUUGUAAAGAUUUUUAAAAUAAAAAAUUAUACUCCCAAAUCACCCGUUAUCUUAUAUUUUUUGUCAUAUUUAACAAUAUUGAUGUCUUAAAUGUGAAAAUUGAAAAAUUAUCAAAAAAAUGUUUUUUAUUUUGCUACUAUCAAAUAUCUUUUUCUAGUUUUAAAAGGAGAAUAAACAUAGGAUUACAAAAUAUAUUUUCUAAUUGGGUUAUUGCAAUAGUGAUGAAGGAGAAUGCAACUAAUUAAAGAAUCCACUUAAUGCAAUCCACUCGACCAAAUGCAUCCCACUUGCCCUUCUUUUUAUAUGCUUUAAAUACCAAUUUGUUCGGAAAUUAAAAUUUUAUUUGAAGUAAUUUUAAAACUCACAAGUCAUCCAUAUCUUAUUCUUUUUUAUGGCCAAAUCAAGAAACUUAGUAUUUUGCAUGUAAAGAUUAGAAAGUGGUCAAAACUCAUAAAAAAAAAUUAUUAAAUUAUUUUCUUUUUAUUGUUAUAUAUAUAAUCACCAAUAUAUUUAUCUAUUUUUAAAAAAUAGAAAUAAUACUAGAACUAAAUAAGGAAGAUAUUAAUAUUUUUAAAAGUUAAAAAAUGUAAUUAAAAUUUUAUUUAUACCUUGUACUUUUAAAAAUAGUAAAAAUAGAAUUAUGAAUACAUAUUUUUCUCAUUUUCGGUAAAAAUCACUAGUAUCAAGAAACUUAUGAAUACAUAUUUCUUCCUCUUUUUCCUUUUUAGUGUUUUGUUCAUCUUUUCUAUUUGAUUAGCCUAUUUGGUGAAUGUCACUAAUUAUAAUUUAUUUCUUAAGUUGUAAUUGGUCCAUUUUUCUUCUCAUAUUUCAAUUAGCUAAUUAACAUGAUUUCUAUUCAUCUCAUAGUGAACCCAACUAGCUAGUAAGUGGAAUUCCAAACAUAAAUCAAUCUCAAAUAUUAAUGUUGAUAAAGACUAGUUAUCUAUCAUGUCAAAAUAGUAGAAGUAUCUUAAGUCCCUACCACCCUUAUCAAGAUGUAUGUGUUAAUAUCCUCCAAACUUUGCCAAUUAAAAUAGGAGGUGAAAGUAUAUCAAAACAAAGCAAGUGUUUUUCUAGAAAUGAAUAGUCCCUUUCCACUUAGGUUUACAUUCCUUAGUGGACCCAACUAUCUAGUAAAUGAAAUUCCAAACAUAAAUCAAUAUCAAAUAUUAAUGUUAAUAUAGACUAGGUAUAUAUCAUAUCAAAAUGGUCAAAAAAUAGUCUUUCAAAAUAAUUUUUAAAAACAAUUAUCAAUUGGGAAAAAGUUUUCCUAAUUUAUUCUCAUAUAAUACAAUAAUUUCUAAAGUAUUUUUCAUAUUUUUAAUUAUUUAUUACAAUACUUGACAAAAAAGAAAAUUUUUAAAUAUCUAGAAACACUUUAAAUUCAUUUUGAAAAAUAACUUAUUUUAUAACAAAUUUUUAAAAAAUCAUUUUCAAAAAAAAAAUUGAUAAAUAUAUUUUCUAAGUUGGAAAUGUAUUUUGUAUUUCAAAAAAUAGAAAACUAGUUUUAAAUGGGUCAUUAAUCAGGUUUUCUUCCCAGGGUAAAAAAUAAUAGUAGAGGGGAAGUGAUUUUUGACCAUUAAUAAAAUUAUUGUUAAACAUAUUCCAACCUAAACCUUUAAUAUUUAUAAGAAAAACAGUGAAAACUAUUGCUAGGAGAAUUACAAUUGUGUAACCAUACGAAUGAUCAAAUACUUUUACCCAUAAUUUUAUACAAUGUUUUGAUCAGAUACUCUUGCCAACAGUUUUUUUUUAUGUGUCCUAAGUUGUCACUCGACAAUUGAUCUUGCAAAAAUAAUGUGAACACUAUUGUGAACCCGUAUUUUUCACAUGCAUCCCUACUCUAUAGCAAAACUUAGAAUUUAUGAAAAAUGUUUCAUGUUUUUAAAAACUCAUUUUAUUUGAGUUUUGGAAUUGGCAUUUAUUUUAUUAAUUUUUUUUUUAAAAAAAAAGGUAAAACAAAAUAAGAAAAAAAAAAUCGUGUAUAACUCCUUAUUUGAAAAAGACAAGUCCAUUAACCAAAAAUGGAUUUGAGGGUCAAGUUACAUAUCUAGAAGGUAUGAGGAUGAGCCUUUGCACACCUCUAAACCCGUAUAAUUAAUUAAUUAGUGGAUACAAAAGAAAUCAAGAAACCUAAUGUCUCACAUAUAGAGAUUGGAAAGUGGUGGAAAUUGAUCAUAAGAAAAUUAGUAAAAAAAAUUCUUUUUAUUAUUGUUUAUUAAUCAUCAAUAUAUUUUUCUAUUUUUAUAAACAAAAAUAAAACUAAAAUUAAGGAAGAUAUUAAUAUUUUUUUAAAUUAACAAACGUAAUUAAAAAAUUAUUUAUAAUUCUAAUUCUAAAAAUAAUAUAAACCAAUGUAUGAAUAUAUAUUUCUUCUUCUUUUUCCUUGUUGGUAUUUUCUUUUUCUUUUCUAUUUGAUUGGUCUAUUAAAUGAAUUUCACUAAUUAUUAUUUAUUUCUUAAAUAGUAAUUGGUCCACUUUUCUCUCAUAUUCAAAUUAGCUAAUUAACUUGAUUUCCAUGUAAGGACCCUAUUAGUGGCAUUUCAAAUAUAAAUCAAUAUCAAAUAUUAAUGUUGAUAAAGACAAUUAUCUACCACAUCAGUAUCAAGUAUUAAUGUUGAUAAAGACUAGUUAUCUACCACAUCAAAGUGGCAAACAUAUCUUAAAACCUUACCGCCUUUGUCAAGAUGCUCCAAGCUUUGUCAUAGGAUUUAAAACACCAAGUGGAAGUAUAUUAUAACAUAACAAUUAUUUGUGUAGAGAUGAGUAGUCCCUUUCAACUUAGGUUCACAUUCAUAGAUAUCUUGAAUAGAUUAUGUUUAUAUUCAAAGAUAUUUUAUGUACAAUAUUGAUUAUAAUUUUGUAAGUUAUAUGUAUAUACUUUUAUUUUAAUGUGAUAGUAAAAUUUAAAAAGUAAAGGUAUCAUUUUUUUUCAUUCCUAAAUUAAUUAACAUAAUUUCAAAACUUACAAUUCACUCAUAUCUUAUUUUUUUCUGUAGAAUCAACAUUAGCAAUGUCUCUUGUGAAAACUUUGGAAAAACUGUGGAAACCUAUUAAAAAAUCAUUAAAAAGAUAUUUGACAUUUUAAAAUUUUUUAAAUAUGUAUAACUAAAAGAUUAUUUGUAUUUUACCUUUAAAAUAUGUAUAUCUAAAUGCAACCUAGGAUAUCACCACAAUCAAAAAAUGUUCUAGUAGAAGGAAAUUUCAUUGUGAAAGCAGUAUCAUUCAAACAUCAUCCAUAUACACACCUCUCCAUGGUGUUCUACAAUUAGUGUAAGAAAAAGAAGGAAAAACAGGAAAGGGUAAAUUUAGUAUGGUAGAAGGAUUCGUAAAUUAGGUGAGAAUAAUGCCUUUGGAUCAAAGAGUUACUCCUUAAUUUAGGGAAAUGCACCCAGGGGCUUAAUAUUUUUAUGGCUGGUGAAGAUGAAAAGUGGAGACUGGAGAAUGUAUUUAUUCAUUGUAAAAAAACAAAAAGCAUGUUUUUCCCUGAUUACUAAUUGUAAUCGGAAACUUGUUAGUAAAAGCAUAAACAAUAGGUAAGACUUAAGCAUGUUUAAAAUGAUUUACAUCAAUGUCAAAGAUUCACAAAUUUUUUCCAUACAAAAUCCCGACUGAUGGUUACCGAUAAAGGAAAAGCUGGAACAAAAAGGAAAAGCAAGAAGACUACAAUCAUGUAUUUGGUGGUAACUUCAAGCGAUGAAGAAGGAUGUAGCACAGCUUGCAGCCCGUCAACGAAUGCUGUCACCAUUACAGCCAUCGCAGCCAAGGUGAGAACAUAGCCGUACAAUAAGUAUGCGUGGACGGUCUUCUUAUUUUCUAUGGGGAAAGAGGCAAGGAAGUAAAUACCAAUUGCACACAUAGAAAGUACCAUGGCUAUGCUAUCUUCCAUGACAAAAUUUCUGAAACUUUCCGUUGCUGCACUUGCCAUGUCUCCGUCCUUGCCCAGGGUGCCAUCUGUUGGGAGCGAUAAGACUGCCAUGCCCUGGGUAACGCCCUUGUCCGGAAUGUAACCACCAGGCAGUGUGAAACCUGCCGUGAAGGUUACAGUUGCUAUGAGUGCCGCCACUAUCAUAUGGCUUUUCAUUGUUUUCUUCAUUUCAGAUAUUUCUUUACUUUCUUCACUUCCUUUGUUUUCAGAUAUUUCUUUGCUUCCUUUGCUUUCGCUGCUAUUCAUGUCUUCCUUGACCUCUAGCGAACCCAAGGGUCUGAUCCCAACUCUGAAACUUGGACUCCGUCUCUGAAAUUGUAAAAUGUUUAGAGAAACAUGGAUAGAGAUUUGAUUUGAAGGGGUGAAAGAAUCAUCCUAAUUCUUGUAAAAGAAGAAAAAUAAUAUAUUUGCUAACAUAAAAUUACCAGAAACUGCAUUUUUAUUGUUCUUCUCUCACAUAAAAACAUAUUUUUGAAUAAAAGCAUAUGAAGGAUGGUUGUCAGAUGUAAUAUCUAUAUAAUUAAAAUACAGAAACACGAAAAAAAUAUAUAUAUAUAAUUAAAAUUAAUUAAAAAAAAUUAUGUAUUUUUGGAUGUCAAAUGGGUAACAUAGGAAAUCGAAAAUUUUGACGACCUUACCCUUAAUCUCGCGAAGGUGUCCAAUAUCCACGUCAACAUCCUCUUCGGAGGUGGGAAGUAGUCGACAUCUUUAGACAAGGGAGAAUUGUGAAACAGGUAGAGGGGCGUCUUUCCUUCAGCAUUCUUCUCGUUCAUGAGUCCUCUCAUCCUUAACGGGGGAAUAUUUGACAAACCCGAAGUUACAAAUAUUUUUUUUGGCAUUAUAAAAUGAAGAACAUUAUUGCCCUCAUCAUCAACUUUCUCGCAACAAUCUGGAAAGCGUGACACCAGCUCUUUCACUACAUCCACAUGGCCUCGGCUUGCUGCAAUGUGAAGAGCUGUCUUGUUUCCAUGGUCUUUGACGCCUAGGUGGACAAUACUGCUGUCACAUUUCUCUAGCAAUUGCCUCACUAUUGUUGGAUGACAACCCACAUAUGCAGCAAAGUGAAGGGGAGACCACCCAUUUUUAUCCAAUUCUUUAGUUAAAGCAGGUUUCCAUUUCAGCAUCUUCUUUGUCAUUGCUGAUAAAAUCAACAAAUGAGAGAAAAAAAAUGAUUUAAGAAAAUUAAGAAAAUAAAUUAAGUCUCCUCUUGUAAUGUGAUUCGACCAUUAAAUAAAAAUGGUGCAUCCUCCACUACGUACCUUUGUUAUUGAGAAUUACCGCAGCAUGCAAAGCCGUUCGACCCUUGAUGCCACUAUGAGCUGGUGAAGAGUACUUGUCUAGGAUCAUCUGCACCAAGUCUCCGAAUCCCCACUCAGCAGCGAUGUAAAGAGGAGUAUUGCCUUCAGCAUUAGCACCAUAGGCAAAGUCGGGGUCAUCCUGAAUCAAUAACUUCACCACCUCAGGGUGAUGAUUUCUCACUGCCUCGUGCAAGGCUGUGUCUUUGUCGUUAUUGAUCAUCCUCAGAAUUACCGUACAAUCUGCUACAGCCCCUCUUUCUGUGUCUCCUUCUCCAAGUUUUUUGGCAGCGUCAAUCAGAUUUUUCACCACUUUCCAGUGCCCUUCCCUGGCUGCAAGGUGAAGUGGUGUGUCACCUUUCUCAUUGGGCUGUUGCAAUAGCGAUGAAGGAGAACCCAACCCAAGGAUCCACUCAACGCAUUCCGCUUGACCGAACUGGGCUGCAACAUGGAGAACAGUGUUCUUCUUUGGGGUUAGUUUGACUUGAAUAUCAUCUUUACGAGCGUUAAGGGCAUGGGUGUCACCAUCUGCUGCAGCCACGUACAAUUUAGGAUCCAUGAUUGUGAUCUUGGUCAGGCUGCCAUCUUCAGCUGCAGCCAGGUUGGUGAUCUCGAUUUCCCUAGCAUCUUCAGCUGCAGCCUGGUUGGUGAUCUGAAUUUCCCUAGCACCUUCAGCUCCAACCUGAUUCGACUCUGUAUUCAAGUUAAGGCUGGAAGUAGUGGGAUCGGCCAUUGUU